AAUUAUAAAGCCUUUUGGAAAGCCUAAGAGAGCGCUUUCAUAAGCGCCCUCUUAGCGCCCCUUUAGAGGGUGCUUUUUUCCACAAGCGCCCUCUAAGUCCCCUUUAGUAAACAUUAAAUUAUAACAUACUGCGCGUUUUGUUAUUUCACUCUCUGUUAUUUCGUUCUUUUUCACGUUAGGUUCUCACUGCUACGAUUUCGCUACUUCUAAGGCGUUCUCGCUUCCACCUCUGUUAGAUCUACGACGUUUCCUNNNNNNNNNNNNNNNNNNNNNNNNNNNNNNNNNNNNNNNNNNNNNNNNNNNNNNNNNNNNNNNNNNNNNNNNNNNNNNNNNNNNNNNNNNNNNNNNNNNNNNNNNNNNNNNNNNNNNNNNNNNNNNNNNNNNNNNNNNNNNNNNNNNNNNNNNNNNNNNNNNNNNNNNNNNNNNNNNNNNNNNNNNNNNNNNNNNNNNNNNNNNNNNNNNNNNNNNNNNNNNNNNNNNNNNNNNNNNNNNNNNNNNNNNNNNNNNNNNNNNNNNNNNNNNNNNNNNNNNNNNNNNNNNNNNNNNNNNNNNNNNNNNNNNNNNNNNNNNNNNNNNNNNNNNNNNNNNNNNNNNNNNNNNNNNNNNNNNNNNNNNNNNNNNNNNNNNNNNNNNNNNNNNNNNNNNNNNNNNNNNNNNNNNNNNNNNNNNNNNNNNNNNNNNNNNNNNNNNNNNNNNNNNNNNNNNNNNNNNNNNNNNNNNNNNNNNNNNNNNNNNNNNNNNNNNNNNNNNNNNNNNNNNNNNNNNNNNNNNNNNNNNNNNNNNNNNNNNNNNNNNNNNNNNNNNNNNNNNNNNNNNNNNNNNNNNNNNNNNNNNNNNNNNNNNNNNNNNNNNNNNNNNNNNNNNNNNNNNNNNNNNNNNNNNNNNNNNNNNNNNNNNNNNNNNNNNNNNNNNNNNNNNNNNNNNNNNNNNNNNNNNNNNNNNNNNNNNNNNNNNNNNNNNNNNNNNNNNNNNNNNNNNNNNNNNNNNNNNNNNNNNNNNNNNNNNNNNNNNNNNNNNNNNNNNNNNNNNNNNNNNNNNNNNNNNNNNNNNNNNNNNNNNNNNNNNNNNNNNNNNNNNNNNNNNNNNNNNNNNNNNNNNNNNNNNNNNNNNNNNNNNNNNNNNNNNNNNNNNNNNNNNNNNNNNNNNNNNNNNNNNNNNNNNNNNNNNNNNNNNNNNNNNNNNNNNNNNNNNNNNNNNNNNNNNNNNNNNNNNNNNNNNNNNNNNNNNNNNNNNNNNNNNNNNNNNNNNNNNNNNNNNNNNNNNNNNNNNNNNNNNNNNNNNNNNNNNNNNNNNNNNNNNNNNNNNNNNNNNNNNNNNNNNNNNNNNNNNNNNNNNNNNNNNNNNNNNNNNNNNNNNNNNNNNNNNNNNNNNNNNNNNNNNNNNNNNNNNNNNNNNNNNNNNNNNNNNNNNNNNNNNNNNNNNNNNNNNNNNNNNNNNNNNNNNNNNNNNNNNNNNNNNNNNNNNNNNNNNNNNNNNNNNNNNNNNNNNNNNNNNNNNNNNNNNNNNNNNNNNNNNNNNNNNNNNNNNNNNNNNNNNNNNNNNNNNNNNNNNNNNNNNNNNNNNNNNNNNNNNNNNNNNNNNNNNNNNNNNNNNNNNNNNNNNNNNNNNNNNNNNNNNNNNNNNNNNNNNNNNNNNNNNNNNNNNNNNNNNNNNNNNNNNNNNNNNNNNNNNNNNNNNNNNNNNNNNNNNNNNNNNNNNNNNNNNNNNNNNNNNNNNNNNNNNNNNNNNNNNNNNNNNNNNNNNNNNNNNNNNNNNNNNNNNNNNNNNNNNNNNNNNNNNNNNNNNNNNNNNNNNNNNNNNNNNNNNNNNNNNNNNNNNNNNNNNNNNNNNNNNNNNNNNNNNNNNNNNNNNNNNNNNNNNNNNNNNNNNNNNNNNNNNNNNNNNNNNNNNNNNNNNNNNNNNNNNNNNNNNNNNNNNNNNNNNNNNNNNNNNNNNNNNNNNNNNNNNNNNNNNNNNNNNNNNNNNNNNNNNNNNNNNNNNNNNNNNNNNNNNNNNNNNNNNNNNNNNNNNNNNNNNUCAUUUGUUGUGCUCUUUGGUCUGCUUAAAUGAGAAAAUACAAACAGUGUGAUUUUCUAAUUCUGCAGCAUACUUGCAUUUUUGUUGUAUUGAUUGAUUUAAACAAAUAAAGAAGAGAGUGGUUAUUUAUACAUUUCAAUUAGGUAGCCAUGUGAGUUUCGGUCAUGACAUGUUCAAAUAGCCAGAGGAUCAUAUAAACAUAAGCAUUAUAGUAUUGUAUUUUAAUAUUAUAAAGCAGUACAAAGAACCUUUAGUUGCUCUUGUGAAUUAUAAACAAGCAGUUGUAUGCAGUUUUCUUCUUGGUUACCUCUUGUGGCUACAACAUACCUGAAUGAGAAUAUGGUCACAGAGAAUGUGAUGCAUGUAAUGUUAUAAUAACCACCCACUUUUAGAUGGCGCUUUCCAAACUAAGCGCUCUCUAAACCUUUAAUUUCACAUUUAGAGGGACGCUUUCCAGAUAAAAAGAGCUCCUUUGUAACCCGUUAACAGUGUUUCCACUUUAUGAGGGCGCUUCCGUAAAGCCCGCCCGUCUAAACCCUUUAAAGUUUCCACUUUAGAGGGCGCUUUCUUUAAAAAGCGCCCUCUAAAGUGGCCCUUAAAGGGCUUAAAGAGCCACUUUAGAGAGCGCUUUCACCAGGAAAAAAAGCGAUGUCUUUACCUAUGCCAGCGUCAGAUUAGAGGGCGCUUUAAAGCGCUGUUAUAGGCCAAAAAAAGCGUCCUCUUUUCCCUUAUUUGGCGUAGUGGUCGUAGAUCAUCAACAAUGAUGCUUUAAGAUGCUUAAGAGAUUGUGGAAAGAAUGAAAAUUGAAUUAUAUUUUUUCCAGUGUACUUUAUUUUGAGGGAUGUGGUACAAUAUUGUUAAUUGCCUAGACAUCUGUAAUUACUGUUCUAUUGGCUUAAGGGGUCACAUUUUUUUUUGUGUCAUCUCUUAUAUAACUGAUUUCUUAUAAAAAGAACAAAGUAAGAGAUUAUUUAGUUAGAAGAAAUUACCAUCUUCUCAAAUUUUAGAUCAAGUCAAAAUCAAGGGGUCACAAAAUUUAUUUUGAUGGUUCAAUUAUAAAAAAAACAUUCGGUAUGUCUCAAAUAAAUUGUAGUUGAUUCCUUUAUGUUGACUAGGAAAAAUCGGCAAUUGAUGUUAUUCUCGAACUUUUCUAGUUUAUUUCUUGAGUUUUGUUUUCUCUGUGUGGACUUGAUUUAGUGCUUUUUUAUACACUCUUUCUCCUUAAAAAAUCUCUUUUAGUUAAUCAUAUUUUUCUAUGAUGUUUUAAAAAAAAUCACAGUUAAAAAAAUGUAUUUUUUUUAUAAAAUUGAGUUUUGAAUUUUUUUUUAUCAAUUUAAAUAUUCACAAUUUUAUUAAGACACGUUUAUAAAUAAAAUACUACUGCCAACUUUCUUAAUUAUGUGAUUUUAACAAAAGUGUUUUAUAUUUAAAUAUAGAGAUAAUAUUAUUUUCAUAUUUUAUUUUAUAUAUAAAUGUGUACUUCUAGUGAGUACAAUAGUAGAGACUAUAUUUGCGUUAUGGAGUACAAUAUAGCUUUUUAGUUUUGAUGUGUAAAGAGUGAAUGUAUUUACCCAGAUGUCUAUCCGAGUAUUCAUAGAUGUGAAUGUCUAAUAGAAGAGUCUGCGGAGAGAUUAGUUCUUAUGCCUACAAAACAUGUCGAUCUAUGUGAUUGCAUGUAUAAUAUAUACAACAGUCAUAUGAACUCAAUGGUUUUGCUAAUGAAAAUACUAUGAUUUGAAAUCUUCAUCAAUCAAGUUAUGAUCAAUAUAUUAGAUAAAGAUGAUCAAGUAAUUUCAUUUAUGAGAUCAAGUUGUCAAAUGAAUUCUCUUUAAGGACAACACUAAAUGUCAAGUGGCAUUUGGUGGAGUCCUUGAUGAUCUAUGUCAAAAAUUCUAUGAUGAUGGAAUUUAUCAAUAAGCUCUAUCAAGCUUCAUCAGUUAGAAGAAGCCAAAUCAUAUAUGAAGUGUUAAAUCGACGAUGGAUCAAGCAAGGUAUCUUGAUGCUUCAGAGAUUGUGAAAGAAAGGAAGUAUGAAAUCUUGCACGGUCUGUGUCUGAGUGAUAAGAAUAUUGUAAAGAUAUUAGAGUAUUUCUUAAAUUACUAAGGUAAUACGCCCACUAAUCUAAAAGUGUUUUAACCUCUCUAAAUUAUCUAAAACACCUUAAAUCUGAUAAAGGAACCAUCAAGGUAUUUGUGAUAUUGAUCGAGGAUGUUCCUAAACAUUUAGGAAGUUUGUAUACAUUGUCUAAUUGGUUAGGACCCUUAACCAAUCGAUUAGAAUAAGGUUUGAAUCUUCGUAAUUGAAUAAUAACACUCUUAAUAGAUUAAGACAUUAUCCAUUUAAGGUUUUUCUUUUUGGAAAUUAAGGUUGUCAUAUUUUAAAUUGCAUAAUCGAUUAAUCCUAUGAUAUAAUUGUUUAUAACAUUUAAAUGCCGAAGGAUCUUUUUCCUUUUUCAGCCAGAUUUUUCAAAUAUAGAUAGAGUCCCUCCUCACUUUCAAAAUACACGAUAAAAUUUAUUUCUAUAUAGUUUCUCACUCUCCACUAUCUUCUUUUUCAUUUCUUUCCUUUUUACUAAAUUUCCAUGGUGCCUAAAGAGUGAAAAAUAUCAAUGAGGUUUUUUGUGUACUCUAGUGUUGGCGCAUCAUUUUAAUUGAUCCAACAUGAAUUUAUCUCUUGUAUAAUAUCUCUUGUGAGGAGUUUUUGUUUGGUUUUUGAGUUAAACUAAUAAAAAAAUUAAUUUGGUUCGUGAGAUUAUUCAUCAAAGUCUUUGUUUGGUUGGUUAGCUUAACCUGGUAAAAGCUCUCAUUUGGUUUAUGAGAUUUUCCAAUAAAAUCUUCGUUUGAUUUGUGAGUUUAGCCCUAUAUAAAAACUUUCACUUGGUUCCAAGAUUAGUUUGAUAUAAAUCUUGUGUUUGGUUUGUAGGAUAAUCGAUGUAAAACUCCAGUUUGAUUAUAAUAAAGUUUGUUACCAUGUCAGAAAUCACACAUCUAUAGUGAAAACUCUCUAGAAGAAAUUAUUAGAGAGAAAAGUAUGCUAAGUUAUUAGAUAAAAUCUUUGUAAAUCUCUGGUGCAAAUCUCUCAACCCUUAUCUCUUUAUAUUUUUAUUGUUUUUUCAUCAAAUAAUUUUUAAUUGGAUGUCACUUUUCAAAUUCACAUAAUUCACACCCUCAUGUGUUUGGAGUCACUUGUCCAACAAAAUCGGCUACACGUAACAUGGGUUUGACUCACAAGAAGAGUGACUAGGGUGAGUCAUCCUUCUAUGCUAGAACUAAGAUCCGUGAAGGACUACUUCAGUUAUCCCAUAGGGAAUCUCAUUUUACUUACUUAACACAUGAAUUGACACGUCAUCCCAAGAGAUACAUCAUAGAGGAAAUGGGCUAGCGUUGAUCACAUUUUUGACAUGUAACACCAUACUUACUAUCUAAGUACCCUUUAUGUUAUUUAAAAGUUGAAGAGAUGGGGAGCCAAGCCCUUUGAAAUUUUCCCACAAAUAUCUUAAUCCACAUUCCCUCAAACACAAGACUUGUAAGGUCAAAAUUAUAAAACUUUUUUUGAAAGGUAAAAUAGAUAUUUAUAUAUAUUAAAAUGACAAAUAGUGAGGUAAACCCAACAAUACGAAAAAGAGAAUCUAAUGUCACAAGGAGUGUCAAGAAAAAAUCUACAAAGACAAAAGGCAAAAACAAGGAAAUAAGAACACUAAAAAAAGAAGCAAAGCCUCUACAAGGGAUGCAAACCAUGAAGUAUGAACCAACAAGCUACCAACUAGAGCUCUGACAGCCAAACCGACCAUCAAUAGACUAAAAAAACCACUAGCAAUACCAAAAUCUUUGAUCCUUAUGGAGAAGGUCGAAACUCUUGAUCCGCUACUGGGUAAGAUACAUGUAGGGUUUUAAAGCCAGUCAGAGAAGGAAGGUGAAGUCGAUGAUAAUCUAUUAUGAAACCAAGUCCAUGUUGCAAAAAUACUUUUAUCAACCACCUCUUUCACAUUUGUUGAUAAUCCGGUAAACAACUUAUCAUUAUGCACCAACCAGAUAGUCCAUACUAUUGUAUGUCAAAUCAUGACAAAAUCCCCUAGAUUUAUCUCUUCCACCUAAAGAAAAAAGAAUCCCCAACUCCCUAGGAAGAUCCAACUGAACUCCUAACCAUCUAAAAAAUGUAUACCAAACACUAGUCCCUAAUAAAGAUACAAGAAAUACCCUCUGGAUCGACAAUGACCUUGCACUUUAUAAGGUUUUCCUUAAUAGGGUUAUGUCUUACAAAGGUUUCCAGGAGAAAACCACCACCUUAUAGGCACUACAACAAACAAGACCUUAGACAGCGCUUUUUUUAGCCUUAGACAGCGCUUUAAAGCGCUGUCUAAACCUCCGCUGCUAAAGGUUUAGACAGCGCUUUUUUAAAUCUUAAAAGCGUGCUCUAAGCCCCCCCCCCCUUAGACAGCGCUUUGGCCAAAAGCGCUUUAUAAGACCCUCUUAUUUUAAAUUUUUUAGGUAUACCUUAGACAGCGCUUUUGAAAAGCGCUGUCUAAGCCCCACCCCCUUAGACAGCGCUUUGGCCAAAAGCGCUUUCUAAGACCCUCCUAUUUUAAUUCUUUUAGGUAUACCUUAGACAGCGCUUUUCAAAAAGCGCUGUCUAAGCCCCCCCUUAGACAGCGCUUUUACAAAGCGCUGGCUAAGGUAUACGAAAAUUUUGAAGCUUUGUUUUUAAACCACAUUUUUUCCAGGUUUAUAAACCAGAAUUUCUACCUGUUUUCAACCAGAUUUUGACAGACAAUUAUCACAUUUUAUAUAUGCCAUUUUGGCCUUUUUUCUACCAAUUUUGGCUAACAAUAUAUAUAUAUACCAAUUCAAAACCAAUUUUGCCUUAAAUGUAUCAAAAUAUAUACAAAUUUAUGUACACAUUUACAAGUCAUAACAUAUACUACAAAUGUACACAUUAAUUACAGAAAUUUAUGAACAAACAUUGAGCUUUAUCAUGAAUUGACACCACCUCUUUGAUUUCGUCCACUUGAUCCUUUGUAUAAAAUGCACACUUGAAUUCAUCAAAGUACUACAUAAUAAUAUAACUAUUUUGAAUUAAUUCCAACUAUUUAAUUAUAUGAGAUAUGUGUAAAUAUAAAAAUAACUCAUAAGUUAGAAAUACAUACAUCGGUGGGAAUCUUUAAUCCGCCAGCACAAGAGUAUCUCGCAUAAACCUCAACAUGAAAUACCCGCCAAUCUAUUUGAUUACGUUGCUGAGGACACUACAUAUGAAAAAAAAAAUAUGGAUUAUAAAUCCUAAGUUUUAUCAAGUGUCAUCACUAAUAUAAUAAAAAAUGUGGUAAUUAAAAAUAUACCGCCACUUUAAUCCAUGUAAUGGAGUUGGCGCCCUCCUUGAGGUUUGGAUAUCUCGUUGGGCCCGAAAAGCUUGUAGGACGUAAUAAAAUAAAAAUGAAGCAAUUAGAACAAUUCACAUAAACUAAGAAAAUUUUGAACAUCUCACUUACGUGUCAAUUAGGACCUUCAUAUCCGGGUAUGUUGUCCAAUCAUUUCCUAACGAGUCAAGAUAAUACACAAUUCUCGGAUAGGAUUGAUUGCGAGCAACAACCAAUGUCCACUGUAAUGAUUAGGCAAAUGUAGAUGGUAACUUGGAAAAUAAUUAUAAUAGAUGAAUUUAGAAUGAAAUGCUAACCCGGUAUUAAACGGUUAUAAAAAACAACUUCUCCGCAUCUUUAUUUUUGCUAAUAUCUACUGUUGCCCUUUCAACAGGAGUGGGCUUUCCGUAAUCCAAGCAUAACAUGCAUAAGUGUGUUAAUAAACAGGUUCAGAAUGAAUAUCAACCUGCACGUUUCAAUAACAGUUUAAAAAACACUUUCGGAAUUGCAACUAACAGAAAAGGCCAGGACAAAAGUUCAUACCACCUUGCAAACUAUAACAGAAGUUCUUAAUUCAUACCAGAAACGGAAUAGACCAAUUGUCAUAACAACAUACCAUUAUACAAGUCCACGAUAACAUUUUAUUUCAUAAUUCACAAAACUAACCAAUAUAACAAAACAAAGCCAAAUUAAGUUACACAUCCACUCAAGUCCAAAUGAAACUAACAUUUGAUUUGUAACUAACCAUUGCAUUUCAUAUAAGUUUAGCAUUAAUUUUAUGAGCAUUGUAACAGAUUUUGAAGGAUAUAUAAACGAAAUUCCAGUUCACAAAAGCAAUUUUCUUCAUCCAUUCCAAUUUUUAAAGAUUCACUCAUUCACAAAAUUCCAGUUUCACAGAAGAAAUUCUUCAUUCAUUCAUGAAGCAGAAUUGUCAAUAUAUCAUCCAUGAAUUUCCACAAGUCAGAAACGGACAAAUCAAAAAGUUUUAGAACAUACAUAACAACGCCACAGUUAGCAUUCCACAGGAAAAUAGUAUACCUUAAUUAAAUCCUAUAAUUACACAUAGACAUCAUUGAAACUCGCUAAUAAAAAAAAUACCAAAAGUGCAAGAAUUAACCGUGGCAGCCCACCCCAAUUCGGUACAGAUGCAAAUUGUGAAAAUUUCGAACCAAGGUAGUACAUCCUGCAUAAUUAUCACAACAGAACGAAUUUGUAAGUUAACAUUAACCAAUAUAACUGAAUCUAACAUAAUCAUGUAAUACCGUCACUAACCCUACUUCAAGUUAUUAACAUGGUUUUCUAAACAACUCACAAUUCAAACCAUUCAAACCAGCUUUUUAACACAUAGCAGUAUUAUAACCAUCGUAAACGACAUUUUAAUCGGUUUUACUAAGUAUCGUGGCAAAAUUCUCAAUUAACUUCAAUCCAUUACAAUUAUUAAGUUGUGGCAAGUGAGCACUCAAACACACUAGCUAGUGCUGUUCUAAACGAGUCGUUAGCAGAUUCCCAAAUUAGUCAUAACAACUUAACUGAUACAACUUGCUGCGGUAACAGCUCCCGGCGCUCAUGCCCAAUGACAAGUCAAUGCACCAAGACAAUCAUUAGCAUAGCGGAAAGUUUCAGCAAGUAAGUUCUACAUCAAAUAAUCAGGCAAGUGUUUGGUCAUGGUCUUGGCCUCACUAAUAAGUUCUGAUACUAAUAGGCCAUGACAGAUCUCACCAUCAACUUGCUAACAGAUUUACUAACAUCAAUCUACCUUUUGUAGUAACAUAAUUUCAAAGCAAUCGAUUAUAAAUAAAACUACAGAGUCAAAAAAAUGGGAAAUAACUAACAGCAGGACUUUGACUAAACAGUUAAGUUUUUUUUCUAAUUUCAAAUAACCAUGACUAACUAGUUCUCUAACUUAACCUAACAAUUUAAAUUGAUUGACAGACUUGUAACUAACAAACAACUAACAUUUAAAAGCAGAACUUCAACCACAACAAACCUUCAUAGAAGUAACGUGCAAAUCCAGCCUGAACUGCAAGCUAAGGUCCAAUUUUGACUUAUCCCUGCAAGCAAUAAAUAUUUUAAUGAUGAAAAAUUAAUAAUAGAAAAUAAUUCAAUAUAAAAUUAACUUGCCAACUAACAGAGUUUAACAAAAAUCCUAACAACCUGCCCUAACAUAACUAACCUGCCGAUCCGUUGCCCGAUUUGUUGAGAAUACCAUGUAUAUAACAGUGCAAUCAGAAGCUUUCUAGUUUUUUCAUUCCUCACCUUCAAUCUUCACUCUUCACUCUCAAGCUCUCUACCCUCAUAUUCAGAAUCGGUUGCUUUUUGCUCAAAGAUUAGAGCUCAUUCUUCACAGUUCAUCUCUGAGAAGCUCACUUCACUUCCCUCUCGCGUGACCACUCGCACGUAACCACCGCAGUGAUGACUCUGCAAUCCAUAACACAGUUCAGAAGAGUUGAAGAAGAAGAAGAAUCGCAAUCACAGUUGAGAAGAAUAAGAUACAUAACGAGUGACACAACAAGAGGAAGAGAAGUAAUACCUGCGAUUCUCUGAAAUCCACCGCACCGGAAUUCUGAGCCGGAUUGGAGUUGGAUCCAAAUUCGAUCUUUCCAUCGCAAUUGGGUUUAACAUUAAAAGUAAUCGUUUCAAUAUAAGGCAUUAGUUGUCAAAAGUUACUAACAAUGGAAAAUCCAAGUCUUGAGACAUGAGAGUUUGGCAGUCAGCUGUUAACCUAACACCAUCCAACUUCAAACAUAAUUAUGAUUUUGAAAAUAUUAACAAAAGAAGCAGAGAAACAAAGAACAAGAGAUAACCGAUCGCUGCUCCAGUAGAAGCUGCAUACUCUUAAUUGUUUCUCCCUUUACCAAUUAUAAGGCCGACCUAAGAACCAAAUCAACUAUAAACAAAACACUGUAGAAAUUACAUGGGUGUACAUAUUUCGGGCAACUUUGCAACCUAUAUUGUUGGGAUUUGCAUCGAAAUUCAAUCACCCCCAGAUUGGCGCAUCCGUCUUAGCUACCACCACCGUCAGAAGCCCGCGCUUCAGUCCUAGUAAAGAACAACUCUUAUCAGUGAUGUUAUGGUACAUUUCCCCCAGUUAUUACAGUAAAAAUCGUAGAAACAACCAUCGUCAUGAGCUUCACUGAAGGUUACAGUUAAGGCAUAUUUGACUUGGAAAGAUCAUUUUAACAAAUCAGCACAAACAAUCAUACUAAGUUACAAAAUCAGGUUCAAACAUACUGUCGAGCAUAUUUUCACUGGCAGGUUACAGUUGGUCAUUCCAAACCUCACUAGAGCAAAUUACACCAGAAAACACACCAUAUUACAAAUAGAGUCAAUUCAAAACACUUCUUAUCAGUGAUUUCCCUGGCAGGAUACAGAGGCACUAUAUUCAAUAUAAUUUAGCAAAUUUAUCAUUAAACUUUCACAUGCAUUCAAAUCAGUUGAAACACUCUAACCAGUAUAUUUCACUAACAGGCCAAAGUUCGUCGAUUCACAACAUAUUAGAGCAAAUUUAAAACAAACGCUCAGCAAGCUUCAUUGAUAAGUUACUCAGCAGAAGCAACAAGCCUCGAAGUACCCACAAGGUACAGAUCUGUAUUUUCUUUCCAAUUGGCAUCUUUUCUUGCUUCUCAAGUCUAAACUAUCAAUGCAUUUUUCAACAAAAAGGGAUUGAAUUUUUUUUAUGUGGUGUGCUAUCGUGGAUUCGCCAGUUUUAUAUUAUGGCAAAUAUAUAACACAUACUACUUUUUCUUUCCCCCAAUUUAUAGACUGAUUAAAAAUGGUGUGAAGGUUUUAGAUUGGCUUCAUUUUUGCUCCUUACUAUUCGGAAAAUUCAAAAAAUGGCAUGCACAAAAUAACACAAUUGUGGAAAUGGUUUAGGUUAAGUGCCUAACAUAGCUUAUUCAUUGUGAAUCUUUCUUUAAUUAGCAUUGAAUCUUAAGCAAAGACUCAAGUGAAGAAAACACAUUUCCUUGAGAUUACCUAAGGCCAGUGAACAAUUGCAAUUGCUCCAUACAAAAUUUGGCUUUAAAUUCCUGCAAGACAAAAAGUUUAAAUUCAUGCCAUUUCAAAAUUCAUAAUUAUAUCUUAUCAAAUUGAUAGAAAAUUUGAAGCAGCUCCCCUUUCAAGCUUUGGAAUCAAAUCAAUAGAAUGUAACUCACAGAUGUCUUAGUUUUUUCAGUUUGAUAAUGAAUAGGGAUAUUUUGGCCUCAAAUAGUUGCAGCCAUGUUUCUGCCAUAAAGAAGGAUCAUCAGAAAAAACUCACUUGCUAUAGCUUCCGUCGUAAAGUACGGAAAGCAUCAAAAAGUAGGCUUACAUAUGUGUGCAUGUGAGGUAAUUCGUAUUAUUUCACCCAUUAUGCUGUUGAACUGAUACACUAAAAAACCAGAACGGAAUUAAAGUUAACCAAUCAGAAUGGGAAGUAAAUCAUAUUUUGGCAAUAUAGUAAACCAACCAUCCCGAUAAGAGCUUCAAACAUAAAACGAGUUACAUAUUUCAAAUUUGUAGAUUAUACAGCGAGGAUCCAAGAUAUCGGUAAGGUUCAAUCCUUGAAUUUUGCAGGAGGACCGACAGGGCAAGUAUAAGGUUUCUUAGUUGGCAUUAUGGGGGAUAGUGAUAUUAUCUUAACCAGAAAAAAAUCAUAUUUUUGAAGUGAUAUAGUAUAUUAGAGCCUAGGUGCAUUUGAAGUGGUAUAUCAUUUACGAUCAUAUUUAAAUCUUGAUUAUCAGUAGAAUAUGUGCAUACAGAUGUAUAACUGAGGAGUCCAGAACAACUACUCCUGUCCAAUACUCCUCAACAAGGAUCACCCACGUUCCAUCCGUGUAGCCCUUGAGGUUUGUUAGCUCCUGUAUAGAUCCUGGAGGCUGUAAAUGUUUAUAAAAGAAUUGCAAAUAUAUAUUUAGUUUAGUUAGACAUAAAAUGAUAUAUAUGCUUCAAGUGCUGGAUCUAUAACAAAAUUAGUUCAAUUUUAAUUGAAGUGAAGCAUGGAAUUUUUGUUUUCUCAGGUUCAAAUCUAACCCUCAUAAAUACAUGAAUUUUCAAAUCAACCACAUCUUCAAUUUAUCUCUAUAUCAAUUUAGCAUUACUGACAAAAUCAGCUACUUGCUUGGCUACAUUAGCACGGACACCGGAAACACGACACUGACACGUCGAUGUCAUAGUAAUUUGAAAAGAUAAUAAAUUAAACAUAAUAACAAGUAUCAGUGUCGAUUUUGACACACUCUGAAACAACACACAUUUUUUUAGACGUGUCGGUGCUACAUAUCUAAAUAUCCUAAUAGAUAUUGUUCUUCAAUGUCAUCUUGAAGUGGAUUUAACUCAAAAUAUCCAAAACCUUAGUCUGAAUUGCAACCACAAUAAAAAGUUUUAGAAAUCCUCUGCAAUUUCGGCCGUAUUUAUUCUGCAUUUCCACAAUAUCAGGUUUACUGAACAACUGCAACGAUUGCAAUUAGAAAUCAUGAAGCAAAGCUAUAUUUCAGUUGAUUUUGCAUGCACACACCAUAUCUUUUUGAAGCAACUAACUAUCCAAACGCAAAUCUAUGGAAAAAAAAGAAAUAGUUACCGUCAAAUGAUUGGUGAAUGCCGAAGCCGUAAGAAAUCAAAGUUGCUGAGACACAAGGAAGACGAGAUUCACUAACGAAUCAUUUUCUUUCUUGUUUUUGUUGUAUACUGAUUGAAACUCUGUUUUUCUCUCAAUUUUCCUCAAAAACGAACUGAUCGAAUAGAAUCGAUUGAAGACCAGAGUUCGAAGGAAGCAUGUUUAUGAAGCGAGCCUGCACGGAUCCAAUCAGUAGUGAAAACCACACAGGAUAGAAUCAUACAUAUAAUGGGGGAAAGGGUUAGGGUUUAGGGAAGAAUCUUCACACAGGAUAAACAAGCUCUGAUGAGGGUUGGAAGAAGGGGAGUGGAUUUGGCGAGAAAGAGAAGCAAGCUCGAUUGAGAGGGUUUGGGGAAGAAUGUAGGAUUUUAGGAUUUGGGAGGGAAUAACUUUUUUUUCGGACAUGGAGCGGAUAAGACUUUAGACAGCGCUUUUGGUUUUAUUUUUUUUUUAAUUUAAAGACUUUAGACAGCACUUUAUCAAAAGCGCUGACUAACGUCUAUAUUUAAACGCUUUCUAAAAGCGCUUCUAAAAGCGCUGUCUAAGGGGGGGUCUUAGACAGCGCUUUUAGAAAGCGCUGUCUAAGACCCCCCCUUAGACAGCGCUUUCAUUAUGUUUUUGGAACAUUUUUCGUGUUUUAUUUUAAUUUUAACCUUAGACAGCGCUUUCUUUUAAAAACGCUGUCUAAGAUGCGCUGUUAAAAGUCAUUUUUGGCGUAGUGAGGGAGACCAAAUAUCCCAAAUAAGGGGAAGCAAUAGAUUCUUCCUAGAUAGAGUAUCCCCAGGUAGAGGGAAAAGGCCAACUUAGAUUUGAUAAGGCGAUGCCACCAAGAACAAGCCAUCUCUAAUAUGUCUCCACACUUAGCUAUCAUUUUGCUCACUAUAUUGAAACUCUUACAAGACUGAGAAAAAGUCAUAGACCAUAGAUCCUCAUGGGUGAAGAACAUUCUCCUCUAACCAAGGUCCCGAGAAAUCCUUUGAUCUAUCCACUUACCAAUUUCACUCUCAAUGUCAUCCUAUCUCUGGGAGAUGGCGAAGAGUCUCUAAAACCUAGUCCUAAGAGGUAUACUCCAUAUUCAAGGAUCAUUUCAAAAAGAUGUAUGAAAAUAUGUCUCAACCUUCUUAACAAACCCAACGACAAACAAAUUAGGAGGAUCAUCGUUUUUAGAUCCAAGGAGGAACAUUCCUUUCCACCAAAAAGAGAUGAAGUGAGAUCCCAAAGAUUGAUCCCCACAUGCGGAUAGGAUAUUUUAUUCCAUAGUCUCUCAAACACAACUUGUAAAGACAAAAGGGUUUUAAUUCAGAAUAUUCCUGUCCAAAAACUAAUAUUAUGAUAUGUUUAUUUUAUAUAAAAAUCUUAAUUUAUAGUUUUUAAUUUUAUUAUUUACUGUCAUACCCCAAUUUUGUCUAACCAUGUUAGAACUUUUAUACAUGUGACUUUACUUCAGUUUGCAUCAUAUGCAUGGCAUGUCAUGCAUUUCAUCACGCCUAAUGACUAAAGUGUCUUUCAGAAUAAUUUCGAAUAUACAGAAAAAAAAAAUAGUAAUGGUUCCAAGAACCGAAUUAAUUAACACUAAAAUGUUUAGUUUUAGUAUAAUCUUUUCUUUCAAUUUAAGUUUAUAUUUAAAAAAAUUUAAUUAAAAUUUAUCAUAUUUUAUUUUAUUAACAAAUAUUUACAUAUGAUUGUUGGAAUAAUUGGAAUGUCACUAAUUAAUGAUGUAUUUUUAUUUUUGAUUUUAUUCAUAAAAAAUUAAUUAAAUAGUUAUGUUUUACAAUCUAACAAAAAAAAUAUAUUUAAAAUAUAUUUUAAAAAAUUAAUGAUAGAUGAUCUUGGGGUUCAUACUUAAAAAAAAAUUAAAUUUAUAAUUUUAUCGUGAGAUAACAUUUUUUUUCGCUUAUUUGACAAGUAUAAAAGAUAAGACAUAUGAUAACUAUAUCAUAUCUAUAUUAUUUUUCAAUUCUCUUCAUAUAUAUAUAUAUAUAUAUAAAAAAGUUUAAAAGACUUACAUCAAAUCUCAACCGUUAAUAAAAUUGAAUCAAACGAUCAUAUAAAGUGAAGUGGAAAAAAAUAGACUAUUUAUUUAUUUAUAUUAACGAAUGAGAUUUAGUGUAAGACUUUAUAUAUAUAUAUAUAUACUAUAUAUAUAUAAUAUUAUAUCUGGUAUCCAAUCCAUUUAUGUGAAUCUAUACAUCAAGAAAUGAAAGAUAUAAGAAAAAAAAUUAAUUAUUAUUUCUAUAACAUAAUAAUUUAAGUAUAAAAAUAAAAUUAAAAAUAAUUCAGAUAAAAAAUGACAUUAAAUUAAAAUAAUUAAAAUUAAAAUUAUUAUAUAUUUUUAUUAAAUAUUAAUAUUAAUUAUUUUAUUUUUUUAAUUACUUUUUUUGGGCAAUGGUAGUUUUAUUAUUUACAUAUAAUAUAUAAUAUAUUUGUAUAUGACAUAUCUAUCGUAUAUUGUGUAAAUUAUUUCUUUAAAAUAAAACUAAUUAUUUAAUAAUGUAUAUGAAUUUUAUUAAAAGUUAUCAAAAAAACUUGCUCAUUACUUUUUAGAUAUUUUUUAGUAUAUUUUGAUUUAUUUAUUAACUAUUAACAAUGUAACAAUAAAACCAAUAUCUUCGGGAUGGCAAAUCUUUUAUUUUGAAAAAAAUAAAACUUUUUGAUUCAAAAAUCAAAUCAAAUCAAAUUCAUAAACAAAACUUGUUAACUACGAUUGAACCUUCUGUUUUCCCUAUAAAUACUACUCAGAUCCUUUGUUUUUCCACACUCGCCUCACUCUCUAUUCUCUAGCUUCAUAAGGUUUUAGGGUUAGGGUUUUAACUUUUCGAAAAAGCAAAGAAAUCAAAAUUCAAUCAUGGCAUCAACAUCAACGUCAAUGGCAUCAACAAAGAAGAUCAAUCUCAAGAGUUCUGAUGGUGAGAUUUUUGAGAUUGACCAGGAAGUGGCGUUGGAAUCACAAACCAUCAAGCAUAUGAUUGAGGAUGAUUGUGCUGAUGACACCGGAAUCCCUCUCCCAAAUGUAACCAGCAGGGUUUUGGCGAAGGUGAUUGAGUACUGCAAGAAACACGUCGAAGCAGCAGCGAAUUCUGAUGAAAGACGGGUUGACGAGAAUGAUAUCAAGACCUGGGAUGCUGACUUUGUGAAGGUUGAUCAGGAUACCCUCUUUGAUCUCAUAUUGGCUGCAAACUACUUAGACAUCAAGAGUCUGUUGGAUCUUACAUGCAAGACUGUUGCGGCCAUGAUUGAUGGUAAGACACCAGAGCAGAUUCGCAAGACUUUUAACAUUAAGAAUGACUACACUCCAGAGGAAGAGGAGGAAGUUCGUCGCGAAAAUCUAUGGGCUUUUGAAUGAUUACAUGUUUACUUUUAAGAUUAAAUUAAUGUUAUGUUUAGUUUUAUUCAUCAAAGAGCUGCAAUAUGUAAAUUUAUAUCUUUUCACAUGGUUGUAUCAUUCUGAUCUUAUUCACAGAUUGUGUAGUUUGUGUAAGUUUUCAGUUACUUGAUUGGUUUCAUUUAGAAUAAUAAAAAUAUCAUUAUCUUUUUUAAUAUAUGAAAUCAUCAACUUGAUCAGGCAUUAUAAGACACAGAAAGAGUACAUAUAAUCCUUGAUAACUUUAUCUUAAGCAAAAUCCCUCAAAAACAUGAAUAAAAGGUGGGCAAGUGAUAUGAUCCAUUUUGCCGGAGUAAUCCUUGACAAAGUUGUACAUAUGGCAGUAUGUCAAGUCCCAAAAAUAGAUAGUUAAAUUGAGGGGUGAUUUGACCUUUAUUUUGACAAGUUGUGUGACUUUUUAAAAUUAAAAUUAAAAUAUAAUAAUGAUAAAUAUAUUUUAUGGAUUUAAAUUUUGGGCAUUAAUUUCUUUUUUAUAAUUAGAAAAAAUAAUAUUGAAACAUAAAUAAUAAUACUUCAAAAAUAAAUUUUAAAAUUAAAAUUUAAAAUUUAAAAUAUUCAACAAUUAUAUCAUAGAAUCAAUCUGAGUUAUCCUCGUCACUCUUGUCUUCUACUUCAUACUCUCCCAUUACUCAUUGUCCAACAAGUGCUGAGAACCCGCCAACCCUGCCAUAUCCAUUCAUUGCUCUUGAAGUUCGGUUCAUUUGUGAGAAAAAAAACUCUUGAAACAUUUUUGAACGCUCUCGUUCCAUCUUCAAUGCUUCCUUCAUCUUUCCUUGUUUUUCCUUCAUUUCUUCUUGUCAUACCCUAAAAUUGUCCCUCCUUUUUUUUAUUUUUCAUCUAACCAAUGGCUUGAGAUUCAUCUACAUUCAUUCAUGCCUCAUGUAUGUGCAUCAUUCAUUCAUAUUAGCACUUUCUAAUAAUCAUCAUAUACUCAAAGUUUGUGGUUAUGAAAUCUAGGGUUUGCUUGUGGAUCAAGCCCUAAGAUUGUGAUAUUGCUCAUCAUAUGGAAUCAAAGGGGGUGAAACCCUAAUUUCUUGUCCUUUGGAACUUUGGUUCAUGGAUAUCACAACAUGGUUUUCAUAUGUGCACCAAAACCCUAAUUCUUGAUUUUGACUUCAGAUCUUGUGAUUGACCUUAUAUGCAUUAACUUGAUCACCAAACCCUAGUCUUGGGCCCAUGUGUUGGAAAGUUGAUAUUUGAGCCUUUGUGCUUGGUUUGAAGAUCUUGAUUAGAUGAUGUGCAUCAUGAGACCUUAAUAAGGGAGCCUUGGUACUUGUGUGCCAUGUUGGUUUGACUUUUGAUCUUGUGAUUGACUGAAACCCUAAUUCAUUGGAAGGAGGUUCUUGAUCAUCAUAUCAUGCAUCAUCAAUCAUCAAAUGAGUUAUUUGAUUAUAGGAAUCAUUCAUCGAGUUUGUCAUUUGACCUACAUAUCUACAUGCUUGGAGAUUCAUCUUAUCCAAAUCCUUGUUCAAGCAUCCAUGUCAUAUGCAUUCUAUUUGGCCAUCCCUAGCCCAUUAAUUCUAGGUCCAUGGUGCUUUCAAGUUCAUAGGUCCAUGGUCAUUGGUUCAUUAUUCAUGAACACAUUGGGUCAUGAUCUUUUGGUCCAUUGUUUUCAUUGUCCCAUUAUGGUUCAUGGUUCAUAGUAGGUCCAUUAAGGAUUGAUUCAUCAUGUGCCCCUAGUCCAUUUGUUGUAGUUCAUUUAACUCAUGCAUUCAUGAUCCUUAUGAUUCAAGUGUUUUAAAGGUGAAUGAUUCAUUUGCUUCUAAUCAUGGUUUAAACUUGGGUUCUUAGGAAAAAAUCAUUUUGAAAUCAAAUUUGUUUACAUUCAAUCAUAGAUCAUUCCAUCCAAAAAAUGGCCAUUCAUUCAUAAAUUAGCAUAUACAAUGUUCAUUAUGAAAUAUAAAAAAAAUGUAUUUUUACAAAAGUUGGCUUUUGGUCAACUUUUUACUUUUUGGUCAACCAAUUGACCAAAGUAAAUUAUUAUAUUCUCACCCCUAAAAUUCUAAUACUCAUUACAUCUUUAUUCAUGCAUGAUUCCAUGGGUUUCCAUUAUCACAUUUGCUUCAUGAGCAAGAAACUCCAUUUUGCAUCCAUUUUGGUCAUGCCAUGCUUUGCCUUGGUCACCUUGUGUUCUUGCCAAGCCUUGCAACCAUGACAAACCAAAAGCCUUGCCACCAUACCACAAAACAUUCCUGCACUCAAAAUUAGCAGUCAUCCAAUCAUACAACCAAGCAAUGCAAACAUAGCAACAAUGCGCAUGAUACAUCAAUUAACACCAUUUGCAAACUUACCAUGGCAUGAGCAAACCAUGACAUGAGCACAUCCUGCGGCAACACGCAUAGUCAGCUUUGCAUCAAAUCAUCACUGGCUUGCUCACAAACCUUGAAACUCGACUUGCCAUACAGUCCAACAAAAACCCUUUGAAAUAUGCAGCAACAAGCUUUGCAAUGCCCUACAUUUUCAGCCAAAAGACCUUGCAACCUUUGUCUAUCAUCAUCAACAUGCCACAUUCAUGACCAUAGCAUCCUGCAACAUCACAUCCACAUAUACAAAAACAGUCAUGGCAUUGCAACUUAAAUUAACUGCAUACCAUUCAUAUAUGAAUGGUAUGCAGCAACCAUAGCAGUUAACAUCUCAACAUCACAUAGUAGGGCAUUGCAAAAAUCGAGCAGCGGAGUUUUGAACUGCCAUUUCAUUUGCACUUCCAUCUAACCAACUAACAUUAUCUAAUAAAUCAUUUUCACUAACUCAAAUUAACCUACACUAACCAACAUCAUCUAACCAUGUUAACUGCAUUUUCACUCCACUAAUAGAAAAUUAGAAAUAACAUUGAACUCGAAAUCAGUUAACAUUUCUAACAGCAAAACUCAGUUUCAGUUAACACUUAACUCUAACAGAUUUCACAAGUCUAACUAACCUAACUAAGUAAAUUAACAUUGUUUUAACCUUUAACCAAUUCCAUAUUCAUUGAGUUAAUAGAACUAACAGAACCAGUUAACUCAUUUCCUAUAAAUUCAUUCAUCCUCACUCAUUCAUGAUCCUCAUUCAUUCAUUCAUUUUAAUUCAACACUUCACAACCUCUCGUUCUCUCAUUCAGAACUCAGUGCCCUCUCUCUAUCUCGAAUUCACAUUCCAUUGAUACGAUUUCCUCAGAUCCAGAUUAGCAUUCAGAAGAUGAAGAAAGAAGAAGAUGAUUAAGGAGUAGAGGAUUCAAGUAAAAGAGAUUUCGAAGGUUUCAGAGAAGUUUACCUGAAGUUCUGGUGUCUACUCCGGUGAGUGCAUCUUCUUACCUUAAUUUAUUUGAUUCAAACUAGUUACCAUCAUGUAGAGCUCAUUGAGAGGAAUCGAAGCCCUAACCUCUAGGGCUUUGUUUCCAAGUAUCCUUCAUUUAAUUUUUGUUGCAAGAGCUAGGGUUCUUGAUUAUUUCCCUUCGAUCUGGAAAUUUCAAGAGGUUUCAAAUGAUUUUGUUUGUGGAUUUUGUUAGAGCGUAUGGUUUGGAGUAAUUUGGUAUGUGAAAUUUUGAGAGACUUUGCUCCACCGCCGUCGGUGGUGAGCUUCGACGCGAUGGAGGGAGAAAGGAUUAAGAUGAUGACAUUUGAACUUAGCCAGCACGUGGAAUAUCAUUGGUGCAAAGCAUAAAAGAUGAUUCAUGAUCAUAUAUCAACAGUUUUGGAUCAAAUAAGUUUGAAUAAACAAUGAUUUGAGAUGUGAAAUAACUCAUCAACAAAGCAAUCAAAUUAAUUCAAAACAUCAAGUGAGAAUCAAAAUAAAAUAAAAUGAUUAAAAUAAAUUAAUAAUGAUUAAUAAAAGAAAUUAAAAGAGAAAAUGUCAAAGAGGGGUCAAAACACAAAAUAAAAGUCAAAGAAAAAUAGUGAAGGUCAACAAAAUUACAAAUGACUUGACCUCAAAAGUUAGGAUAAAAAAUGUUUUAAAAUGAUCAUAAAAAUGUUAAAAUAAAAUUAAAUGAAAAAUAAAAGAAAAUAUGAAUUAAAUGCAAAAUGAGUUUUUAAAAAUAUGGAAAAAUUAUAUGCAGUAUAUAAUACUUUUGUGAAAUUAUGAAAAAAAAUUGGACUAGAAAAUAAUAAAGGAGUUAUUUAAAAUUAAUUUUGAAAGAAAAAGGAAUUAAAUGAAAUAAAAAUAAAAUAAAAAUAAUUCAAAUGCAACAACUAGCUAUGUGGCGCGUCCUGAUUGGUUAGGAGAUUUGAAUUUAGCUCCAAAGCACGUGAGGCAACUUCAUCUUCAACCUCAAGAUUUUGAUUUUUCCAACUUCACGAACUCUUGUUUUUAACAUGAAUCAAGCAUGGAUUUAGUUGUAAAACAUCUCAUCAUUCAUGUCUCCCCUACAUCAGAGCAAUUGAUUUAGUCUGAGCAGGGAGAAUUUGCUCAAGAACUCGAAGAACCCAAGUUCUUCAAAGUAAGACUAAAUGAUGAAUACUGAAAAUAAAUUUGAAGUAAGUGAGGAUUUUGAUCAAUGGAGUAAGGCGAAGAGUGUGGUAACUUGUUUGCUCAAAGUUGUAACUCGUAUCUACCUUUUCGAUUGGAGCUUCAAAAGUCAACUAUGGUGGAUCUGGAUGCAAGGUUCCAAGAAUCUUCAAGCCAAAGUAGUGCUUCAGUUAGCUUCAGAAGGUGCUGAUGAAGGUUUCUGGGUGGAGAUUUGAAGUUAAAAGAGUUCGAAUAAAGGAAAUGGUUGACUGGUUAUUUGAGGUAUCUGGCUCUAAUGGUUUCAGAGUUUCUUUGGCUUUCAAAUAUUUUUAAAUGAAGGAAAAAACUUCCUCUAUUUAUAGGGAAUGUGUCAUACGGUGAACUGGACUUUUUGUGGUUUUAAUCGCAAUGUCGCGGUUAGCAAGAGUCGCCACCGACUUUUCUUUUAUCCAAUAAGGAAAGGUGGAAAAGAACAGGAAAGACCUUAAUUUAGAUUUUGGGUUCGGGAGGUACAUUAACAAAGGGAAUGUGUUAGCACCCUUUGUAUCCAUGGUUAUCCAUGGGCUCUUAAUUGCUCGAUCACUUAUAUCAUUUUAAAAAAAAAAGUGUUUGUGAAUUGUUAGAAAAAUUGUUUUGAAAAGAGAAUUUAACUUUGUAAUGAUUCUUGUAUGAAAUGUAUACAAAGUGUUAUCUCGUUUAGUUUUGAAAUGUUUAGAAAAAUAUAACUCGGUAAUGAUUCUAGUAUGAAUGUAUACCAAGUGGUGAUUUUCUAAAGUAUUUUGAAAGUGUGAGGUGCGAAAAAGUGUUUUAAGUUGUGAGCCAGCAAUUAAGAGUUAUAGCCGACCCAGGUCUUUACGGGCAUUUCCUAUCCUUAUGAGGGUAAAACUGUCCUUAUUAUUGAGAAAAUAAGUAGUUUUAUCCUUUGGAUGUAAAAGGGUCAUCGUAGGGUCAUCGAUUGGUCAUUGAAGGCAACAUUAUGAGGAUACCUUAGCAUUCGAAGGGACUAUCAUCAUUUAAUCGUAGGCAACAUCGGAGGGUCAUCGAGGGACAAAGUUGUAUAUUCGAAGGCAACAUCCGAGGGACUCAAAUUUAUUUUAUGAUGAUUUAACCGAAGGGUCUUUGCAAGGGUAUCCCCCACAUUCGCGGACAUGACCGUAAUAUUCGUAAUCGUAAGGCAACAAAAGAGAGGUCCAAGAUCACUUAUUCAAAGGCAAAGUUUUACAUUAAUUAGGUGAUUAGGAGGAAUUCUCCCACAUUAAAAUUAUUAAAAAUAAUAUAAUUAAAAAAAAAUUAAUACAUUAGAAAUUAAUACAUUAAAAAUAAUUUGGGUGAAAACUCCACAAGGGUAUCCCACAAAUAAAGUGGAAUACCUAGCCAAUAACCUUUUCCUGGGAUAUGUGAACCUUUACGAAACUCAAAAAAAAAAACAUGUCAGAAUACCAAACAGGGUGCAAUCGAAGAUUACACCGGAGAAAUAUCACAACAAUAAAUAGGAUAGGAUGAAUAAUGCAUGGCCAUGAUAAAACAUAAAAAAAACAGAAUAGGCCACGGAUUUGAAUUUGAAAGCAGCCCCACGUUAGGAACUUUGAAUUUUAUGGCAUUUUAUCACAGGAAUAAACACGGUCAAACAUUCAGGGUAUUCAGGCAUAUUUAAUUCCCAUACGAAGCAAAUUAUAUAUCAACAUUUAAUCAUGAUGCAUUAUAUAUGUAGAUAUGGCCAAUUGAAAGUAUAAACAAUAGAGAUACGCAAACCUGUUUGCCAAUCAAGGUUGAAGGGAUUGACCCCUUGUAGUAUCGGAAUAAGUUAGGCAGCGGAAUUGGGCGGCGAUGGCUUCGGGGCGGGAUGAGCUGCCUUCAGGGUUUCUUCUUUAUUGAUUUUCCGGGUUGGCAGAGUUCCUAUGCCAAAGUUUCUAUCCGUCCUUCUCUGUUCUCUCUCUUUCUUUGCCUCAAGGUUUUGUUCCAAGGAACCUCAGAGUGUUUUUGUUCUCUUCCUUCUUUCUCCAGUGAAUCUCCCAGUGUAAACUCUAAGUCUAACUCCCAGUCCUUUUCCUCUACUGAAACUUCAGUAUUUAUAGACUAAUUUUGUGGGUAAUGGCUUGGAAUGAGGGAGACCCAAGUCCAAAAUAAUUUGUUAUAUUUUAUUUAUUUAUUUAUUUAAUUAAUUAAUUAAUAAUUAAUUAAUUUUUUUUUUUUUUUCGUUUUUUUUUUUCGUUUUUUUUUUUUUUUUUUUUUUUCCAGGAAAAAAUGAUGGGUAAAUUUUGGGGUAUGACAGAAUGUGUUGGGAUUCAAAUAUGUGUGGAAUGGAUCUUAAUUCAUGUGAAUCAACUCAAGAAUUUUUAGAUCCAAAUCGUGUGAAAAUUUGGCACCAAACUCGUGAUUUUGGAGCUUUCCAAGUCAUUUCAUGUUAUGGUCAUAUGCGUUUGAUCUGGGAAACAAGUUUGCACGCGUGAGAAGUGGUCCCAAGUUGAUUUGGGCAUGAUUUCACAUUAUAGGUCACGGUGCAAAACAGAGUUUAGGUCACCAUGUUCAUGCUUGGGCCAAUUCCAAUCCACUCGUGUGUUUUCCAAUUUUCUUUGAUCCAAAUGAUCACUUCAUGGAGUAGAACAUGAUGCAAAAAGAAUCAAGUCCAAAGGAUCUUUGAGGUGAAAGUUACAUGCUUAUGAGGUUAAGGUCGUGACCUGGUUUUUAGGCUAAAUAAUGGGAUCAAAAGAAUUCUUGGGCUAAAAAUGGCAAGGGUAGAAAGUAGGGGUCAUAUCAAGGUUUUAACCCAUUUUGGCAACUUGGACCUUUGCACAAAUGAGGUCAUUAAUGAAUGAAUUGAUAUUUGACCCUUGAAUCAGAGUUGCAGAGGAUCCCAAAAGGAAAAUUUGGCUCAAGUAAGCUUGACAAUUGGAUAAAAAUUGAAGGAAUUAUGGAGUUUGGAUCAAAGGUAUGACAUACUUGCAAAUUAGGUCAAACCAACUUGUACCCCUUAGUUUGAACUUGAAGUUUUCUUGCAUUUCAAGCCAUAAUGAUGAUGGUACAAUCAUCCCUUGAUGAAAACUUGAUUAGGGCUUGAAUAAUCUUGAUAAUAACAUGAAGAUUGAGAGAUAUGGCAUGGAAACAAACACAUGGACCAACACUGAAUAAUCAUGAAUUGUUCCCUUGAUCAAAAGGGCUUUGUCUUGCCUUGAUUUGGAGCAUGAUCACCUACAUGAGUAACAAGAACAACCAAGCACCAUCUCUCAAUGAAGUUAGGGUUAGUUGUUACGCAAAACAAGAUGAAACCCUAAUGUUAAGAUACAAAUUACAAAGUGGUCAUGCUUGUGAUCCUAUGACCAAAUGCAAUGGUCACAAAUGAUAUGAUUUAAUGUAUGCAAAUGAAUUAUGCAAAAGGAAAAAGGGAGGAUAAAUUUUGGGGUAUGACAUCACCUUUAACUUCCUCUUCAUUAGUUUCCUCACUUUUUCUCCUUAUGAUCUUACUCAACCUCUUUUUCAACUACAACCUCUUUUACACUUUUUUCUCUCCCCCUCACCUGGAUCUUUUCUUCUAUCACUAAACUUUUGGUUUGAAGGUAUCACUCUAUUUCUCAACUCAAUGGCUUUGUAACUAUCGUUUUCCGGAUUGUCGGCGGUGUUUCCAACAAAUCCCUACUUGAACUAGCUUUUGCUGUCAUUUAUCGAGGUAAUUGACUGAUUUGAAUUUCCAAUUUUUUUUUGAAGCUUUUGUAUUUUUUUCUCAUGACAUCUUGACUCUUUGCCAUCUCCCAUUAGGUUUUAAAAAUUUAUUGUUGAGUUUUUCCAACUUGCUCAAAACUUGUCUGAGUUGCUUUCAUGAAGUUGGAUAAGGCUUCCUCAAGUGGUGAAUGUUUCCUUGGUGUUGCUUGAGGAACUUUGGAUUGGAGUUCAAAGUCUGAUUGUUGCUCCACUUGAAAUUUGGAUGAUCUUUUCAACCAAUAUUGUAGGUGUUGGAAUAAGGUUUAUUUUAUGAAAGUUUGCAUACUGAGCUUCGGCACUAACUCCUUCUGGUAGACAAUUUUCAUUUGCAUGUCCGCCCCCACUGAAAUCACACCUUAGUGUCUAAACCUGACUCACAUUCGUCGGAACCAAUGAGGAUGUGAAUAAUUGUUUCGAAAUUAGCUCGAGUUGAGUUAAAUAUUGAAUCAAUGAUGGAUCAAGCAAUGGAUCUUGAAGUCUCAAAGACUGUGAAAGAUAAGAAGUGUGAAAGCUCGUCUGGUUCAUGUUUGAGCGAUCAAAUUAUUAUAAAUAUAUUUGAGUGAUUCUUAAAUUAAUAAUACAAUGUAUACACUCACCUAAAAGUGUUUUAACCUCUCUAAAUUUGCAAAACGCCUUAAAGCAUAUAGAGGAAUCAUCAAGGUGCUUGUGGAAUUGACCAAGGAUGUUCCUAAACAUUUAGGAAGCUUGUAUACGAUGCCUAAUCGAUUAAGUCCCUGACCAAUCAAUUAAAGUAAGGUUUGAAGCUUCUUAAUUGAUUAAUAACACUCUUAAUUGAUUAAGACACUAGUCAUUCGAGGUUUUUCCUUUUGGAAAUUAGGAUUGUUGUAUUUUGAAGCUCAUAAUCAAUUCACUACGGGGUAUAAUUGGUUAUGGCAUUUAAAGGCCCGUGAAUCUUUUUUCUUUUUUAGCCAGAUUCCUCACUUAUAAAUAGAGGGUUUAUCCUCACUUUCAAAACACACAAGGAAACAUAUUUCUAUAUACUUUCUCACUUUCUACUCUCUCUUUUCUCCUUUCUUUCUUUUUCACUAAAUUUCCUUAGUGCUUUAUGAGUGAAAAAUGUCAGUGAUGGUUUCUAUGUAUUUUAAUGUUAGGGUAUUAUUGUAAUUUAUCCAUUAGAAAUUUAUCUCUUGUGUAAUAUCUCUUGUGAGAAGUUGAUGUUUGGUGUGUGAGCUAAGCCAAUAAAAACUCUCAUUUGGUUUGUGAGAUUGUCCCUCAAAAUCUUUGUUUGGUUCAUGAGCUUAGGCCCAUGUAAAAGCUAUCAUUUGGUUCAUGAGAUUGUCCAUCAAAAUCUCAGGUUGCUUCGUGAGCUAAGCCAAUAAAAACUAUCAUUUGGUUUGUGAGAUUGUCCCUCAAAAUCUCAGUUUGGAUCAUGAGCUUAGCAUGGUGUAAAAGAUCUCAUUUGGUUUAUGAGGUUGUCCAUCAAAAUCUCUAUUUGGUUCUUGAGCUUAGCAUGGUGUAAAAGAUCUCGCUUGAUUUUGAGAUAAUCCUAAUACAAAAUCCCUUGUUUAAUUUUGAGGAUAGUCGAUGACAAACUCCAGUUUGAUUGUAAGAAGAUUUGUGAUAUAACCUACGAAAAAGAUCACAUCUAUAAUGAAAACUCUCAAGAAGAAAUUCUUGAAAAGAGGAGUGAAGCAAGUGGUUAGGCCGAACCUCUGUAAAUCUUUAAAUUCUCUCUUUAUAUUUAUACUAUUUAUUUAUUUUCAUUAUAUUUUCAUCUUUCAUUUACUUUGAUUUCCUUUUCUUUAUUUUUGCUGCCUAUUAUUUAGUUGGUUUAUAAAAUUGUUUUAAAGAAUUGCUAAAGAAUUUUUAUUUGGGCAUCACUUUUUAAACCCACACAAUUCACCCCGACCUCUUGUGUUUUGGAGCCACUUAUUCAACAAAACUUGAUACGCAUCCCAUGAGUUUGACUAACGAGAGGAGUGGUUGGGGUGAGUCAUCCUCUAAUGUUAAAAGUGAGAUCUAUCAAACAAGUACUUCAAUUAUCCCUUGAGGGAAUCUCGUUCCACUUACUUAAUAUUUGGCUUGACACACCUUUUCAUGAAAUACAUCAUAGAGGGAAUGGGUUGGGCUCAAUCACAUUCUCGCUUUGUGAUAUUACACUUACUAUUAAAGUAUCUUUCGUGUUAUUUAAGAGUCGAAGAGUUGGUGGACCAUGCUCUUUAGUCUUUUCCUAAAAAUAUCUCAGUUCAAAUUUUCUCAAACACAAAAUUUAUAGAAUCGAAGUGAUUAAACUAGAAUAUUUAUUCCACCAUCUCUAAAACACAACACAUGUAAAAACGGAUUAAUUAAUUUAGAAUAUACCAAUCCAAAAAAAUUAUGAUGUGUAUAUUAUAUAUUUUGUAGUUUUAUUAUUUACAUUUUAACCUGAUAAAGAACACAUGCUCUUAUACUAAUUUUCAUUAAAAAAACAAAGAAAAAAUAGUAAUGGUUCCAAAAACCAAAUUAAUUAACACAUAAAUAUUUAGUUUUAAUAUAGUUUUUCUUUCAAUUUUAGUUUACAUUAAAAAAAUAAUUACGAUUUUAUUUUAUUUUAUUUUAUUUUACUAACAACUUGCUGCAGAUGAUUGUCGGAAUGUCACUAAUUAAUGAAGUAUUUAUAUUUUUGAUUUUAUUUAUAAAAAUUUAAUAAAUAUUUUUUACAACAUAUUAGAGAAAUGUAAUUUUAUCAUUUUUUAAAAAGAAAAAUAUUAAAAAGAUUUAAGGUGAGAAGAUCUUAGUGCUCUUACUUAAAAAAUAUUCAUUUAAAACUUAUGAUCUUAUGUAAAAUUAAAUCUUUUAAGCUUAUUUGAUGGGUAUAAGAUAAGAGAUAUGAUCAUGUCGAAAAAAUAAAAUAAUAAUAAGAGAUAUUAUAUGAUAAAUAUAUCAUAUCUAUAUUAUAUCUCGUCUCACUCUAUUAUUUUAUUAUAUAUAAUAAAUAUAUCAUAUUUAUAUUCGAUCUAUUAUUUUAUUACACAUUAAGAGAAAAAUUAAUAAGAUAUAAUAAAUAAAUAAAUUAUUCAUUAUAAAAAUUUAAAUAUAAAAAAAUAAUUUGGCAUUUAAUCUAUGUUUUAGAAAUAAAAUGAUUAUUAAUUUUUUUUUUAAAUAUUAAUAUUAAUUUUUUAAAAAAAAUUAGAUAGAACUUUUUUAACAAUAAUAGUUUUUUUAUUAUUGAGAUUCAUUGAAUUAUAUCGUAUAAAAUCACUGUCAUCUAAUUAGAAUUUAUCAUUUUAACAUAUAAGUAUGAAAUUAAAAUAUAAAAAAAAAUUAUAAUUAAACCAUUUUAAUAACUAUUUAUUUUAUGUUUUCUUAUAUGUCAAAACGAUAAAUUUUAAUUAGAUGAGAGUGUAAAAUGGUUUGAGAGGGUAUUCUAAUUAAUCUCUUUAUUAUUUUAAUAUAGUAUAUAUUAAUGUAUUUGUAUAUGAAAUAUUUAACCCAACAUAUAUAAUAUAAUUUAUUUAUUUUAAAUAGAUUAAUUAUUUAAUAAAGUAUAUGAAUUUUUAUAAAAAUUAUCAAAUUCUUGUUUUAUUACUUUUAGAUUUUUUUUAAUCUAUUUAUUAACUAUGUAACUGAAAACUAAUAUCUACUUGAUAGCAAUUCUUUCCCUUUUAAAAAUAAAAAUAAAAAACCUUUUAUUCAAAAUCAAAUCAAAUCAAAUCCAUAAAUAAAACUUGUUGGGUACGACUCAAUCCACUAUUUGCCUUAUAAAUACUCCUCAGGCCCUUUGUUAUUUUCCUCAUUCACCUCACUCUCUAUUUUCUAACUUCAGUCUCUAUUUUCUAGUUUCAAAAAGGGGUUUAGGGUUAGGGUUUUAACUUGUCGAAAAAGAAAAGAAAUCAAGCUUUUCAAUCAUGGCAUCGACAUCAAUAGUCCUGGAAUCAGCAUCAGCAAAGAAGAAGAUCAAUCUCAAGAGUUCUGAUGGUGAGAUUUUUGAAAUAGACCAGGAAGUGGCGUUGGAAUCACAAACCAUCAGGCAUAUGAUUGAGGAUGAUUGCGCUGAUGACACCGGAAUCCCUCUCCCAAAUGUAACCAGCAGGGUUUUGGCGAAGGUGAUUGAGUACUGCAAGAAACAUGUUGAAGCAGCAGCGAAUUCUGAUGAAAGGCGUCGUGACGAGAAUGAUAUCAAGAUAUGGGAUGCAGAUUUUGUCAAGGUUGAUCAGGAUACCCUCUUUGAUCUCAUAUUGGCGGCAAACUACUUGGACAUCAAGGGUCUGUUGGAUCUUACAUGCAAGACUGUUGCGAGCAUGAUGGAGGGUAAGACAAUGGAGGAGAUUCGCAAGACUUUCAACAUUAAGAAUGAUUACACUCCAGAGGAAGAGGAGGAAGUUCGUCGCGAAAAUCUAUGGGCUUUUGAAUGAAAACAGAUUCAACAAUUAAGUCUAUAAGAUUUUAUUAUUAGAUUAUUAGAUUAGAUAUAGGUUUAUGGGUUUAGAGAGUAAGUUAUGUUUUUAUGCAUUAUUAUAUUUUAACAUCUUAGAGAGUAAUGUUAUGCUUAAUUUAUAUACUUGCUUAAUUUUUUUUCAAUACAUCUGUUGAGACUAAAAUAAUAUUAGUAGUGGUAGUAGCAACACAUUAUAAUAUUCUUUUUAUAAUCACACUCUUGUAUUUGAAAUUUGUUCAAAUUCUGUCAAAUAAAUUUAUAUAGGCAAUGUUUUAAGCUCCAUUAAACAAAGUUUUUCUCUGAUUCUGGAUUUUAUGUUGCGAUUGUGGCAUUGUGCAAUGUUGAAAUAUUUGAUGAUUGAAUUGUAGCAGCAAAACAGUUACUUUGUUCCUGUAAUUACAUUGACUCAGUUUAUACAGUUUAUAGAUUCCUUUUCAACUUUCAAAGAAAAAUAUAGGAAUGGUUUUAUCUGGUGUUAAUAGUUAAUGCACCUUGAAAGUUCAGGGCGUACUUAACUGUCCGUGGGUUCUCAAGUCCAAUGACAGGUCCAAUUUAGGAUUUUCAUCGGAAUCGGCCAGGCCACUUAGAAUUAUUGGAUUUAUUGUUUAGUAUAGCUGGUAGCCUGACAGGUGUAGGUUGUUGUUCCUGAGGUGCAGCUUCAGUCAUUAGGGCUUUCUCUAUUUCAUUCAUACAUUUUGGAAAACUUAUUGAUUAAACUAGGAGAGGAUUGAUGAGUGGAACUUGUCCUGAUAUCUUUAUUAGAUGGCUGGCUAUGUUUUCUAUCAUUAGAUCUUAUGAUUCUUCUUUUGCAAAAUACUUUAACCUAAGCCUCGGGGUAGAAACACAAUUUGGAUCUAAGCCAAGCAGUUUCUUUGUUCUGAUUGAAUUUGUUGUCAUGAGGUAGCAUUACGGACAAUGUAGUCAAGAUCUAGUGUUGGGUCUUAGGACGUGCUAUGAUUAGGACAUGAUCUUUUUCUGGCACCAUUGUGGUCAAGAUCAAGAUCAUCAUACAAGAUUGUACAGAAAUCGUGUUGGGCUUCUGAUUUUGUUGGGCACUUCUUAAACCUUAAAACGUGACAGCUUCCUUCCCCCUUUGUUCUCUGCAACUGCAAGCCUCCUCCUCCUCACUUCGGUUGCGAUAACAUCCUCCGCUCCUCCCUGAGACAUUGUCCUUCACCUCCCCUGUUUUUGUUCUAUUUUACACCUUCUUGCAGCUCUAUUUCAUCUUUUAAUUCUUUCACAACUAUGUAAUGGCUUCAAAUGGUGGGUUAGACCUUAGAUGGUUGUCUUUUGAACUACUUAUUUUGAACUUAAGUAUUUUGAGGAUGAAGGUUAUGCCUGUGUGUAAAUGAAAUUACAGUUUUGCCCUUCGAUAAGAUUUUGUGUGACGUGUUACUAUCCUCGUAUUAUAGUCUUUCACCAGCCUACCGAUCCUAUUUAAGAUCCUAUUUCAUGUUGUAAUGAAAUAAUAACUCGAGAUAGUUAUCUUAAAGCUAUUUGUUCCUAUUUGUUGUGAAUUUGGUUCCAGGAAACGUUUCACAAUUUUGGGAUUUCGAUUUCCAUUGGGUGAUUUGACAAAAGGAACAUUUUUUAAUUUUCUCUAUAACUUUCUUCGUUAGUUUUGGAAGAUUUCACCAUUGUUGUAGGAGUUAAAGGCUCUUGAGCUUGUGAACCGUUUUUCUUUUCUCUCUUCGAUUUUUAUUCAAUAUCACAUGUUUGUUGAUUUCUUACUCUGUCAAAAGCUAGUAACUUUACAGGCUGUGUAAACUAACCUGCAAGUCGUUAUGUGAUUUUGGUAUACACUUCUGAAGUGAACCAAUGUAAUCUAAUAACUGAUCUUCUAAAACAGUGAUUGAUUUCCUGUGAUUGUGGCUUUUCAAAUAUUUUGCCGAGUCGUUGCUUCACUAUUUUGGUAUACUCUUGUAUGGUUCAUUCUGUAUAUCAAGAAGAAUUGUGAUUGGUGUCGUGAUAUUUGUCUUUUGAUGCCGUGAAUUGUCUUUCAACUUUUUUGUGUAUUGGUAGUACGCAUGGCCACAAUCCGAAAUCGGCCAACCCUACCCUUGGAUUUUGUUUAUGUUUUUUCAUGAUCUAUCUUUCAAUGUAGAUUGAGUCAAUAUAACUAGAAGAUCGGUGUUUACCAUCGAUAUCAAAAGCUAUUUCGAUAUUAUGUUAAAAUAUAAUGAAACUUUGACUGCAAUAAUAUAUAUUUUAAAGGGGUAAUUUAAAAAGAAACAAAAAAAACUCCAUGAACACAUUUCUAAGGUUGAAAAUCCAUGCAGACCAUCAAACUUUUUAAAAAUGAUAAUAAAGUAUACUAUAUACUUUUAUUUAGAUGUAAAGAUAACCCGUUUGAGAAUAUUAACUCAUUAUUUGUUUACAAGAAAUAUCAACCAGAAAGUAUCUAAUUUUGAAAAAAGAUCAUGGCAUGUCUAUUGAGCUUGAUAACUUAUAUCACUUAUGAACUUAAAGUCGGAUCCUCCCCUAUGGUGGGCUCAGUGGAUGUUUCAGAUGCAUCAGUAGACUGUACCGAAGUAACCGAAUCGGUUGAAGAAUAUGAAGUUCCCGAAGAAGCUGAAUCCACGACGACUUCUGUAUAAGCUGCAGACUCGGAAACCAGACCCUGCGGUUGUGCCUCAGUAGCUUCACGAGCUGCUUUUUCCUUUGCCUUUUUGGCUCUAUCCAACACUUCUUCCUGUAUCAGAAUUAUUGUUUCAACCAAGUCAAAGAUGUGCAUCUAAAUCUAAAAUAACCCCGCACUAGCGGGGAUUGCAACAUUAUAUUGAUAAUGAUAAUAUCAAACACUAAUACAAACAUGAACAUUAGACAUGAUAAUAAUGACACGUCUUUACUCUGAAGUGUCAGUUCUACAGUUCUACAUUUGAUAUGUAGGAACAUUUCCUUUGUAUUUGAUCCAGUGUUAUGAGGUUUAUGAGGUCACGACUAUUGACUCUUAAAUUGUUUCUUACCUGAAAUUCCUGAACUUGUCUUUGUUGUUCAGCUUGCAGUCUUCCAACAUUACUCAAGAACUCACCAACCGUCGACUCAAUUCUCUCGUUUAGAGUUUCGGCCAAAGCUUUUCCCAAGAAAAAUGCAUCCAGAACAUUUUUGCUGCUGCUAUCACCAUCACCUACAUGAACCACAUACUUUUAAAAACUACAUAAUCAAGUACCUAAAACAAAAAUCUACUGAUAAAUCUACUGAUAGAUAGUUUUCAAAUUUAUGAGUAUGUAAUUUCAAAUUGGGAAAAAACCAAUACUUAAGAAUAGAUUAUUAGUCACCACUAAAUUUAGAGAAACCUAAAUUACCAGUUAAGCAAAAUAAAACCAACUAUGUUAAAAAAAAAAAACAUCUUCAUGCAAUUCAAGAACAAAUAAUUAACAUUGAAACCCACAAGAGAAAGAGAGACCGAUAAAACAAAACUGUUUACCAGAAGGUGGUCCACCGGGGAAGAAGCUACUGUUGCAGCGAAGUCCAGUGGUGUGAAAACCCCUUUUGGUGGGAAGUUGAAUGGACGAGGGUAUGGAAGAAGAUGGUACGAGGAUGUUGGAAAAGAAGGGAGAAAGUGAUGUAUAGGAUUUGGACAACCUAGGAGGUGCAAAGGUUGUUGGAGAUGGGGAAGGGGAGAGAGUAGUGGUGUUCAUUUUCUCUUCUGAAACGCACACAGACACACACUAUUGUUGUGUCUGUGUUUUGUUGUUAAUCCCACACGAGAUGUACAUCGAAAUAAAAAAUAAAAAAAAUCUGCGAUUUUAUUUAAUAAAUAAAAAUAUAUAUAAAAUUAGGAGAUAUGUAAGUAGUAUCCAUUAAAAAGUAUAAUUGAAGAAAAAAACAAUAGUUUAAAUAUAUAAUUACUCUUUGAAAAUGUAUUUUUUUUGUGUGUGAUUAGUCUUGUAAUAUUUUUGUUUGGUUAUAGUAUUUGUAAAUAGAAACUAAAUUGUUAAGUUAUUUUUCAAAAUUAAAAGUUGAUUACUUAUAGGCUUAUGUAAUUACUAAAGGGUUGAAUAUGUUUUCCUUCCUUAUAAAUAACUCAUAAUUCGAUUUGUAAUCCCUAUAAAAAUUUUCAUCAACGAAUGAUCUUCAUAAAAAAUUUCAUCAACGAAUGAUCCACACUUUUGGUCUUUGCCACCUACUUCCUUUAAUGGAAGCUGACGUGCCACGCCAUGUCACUUAAAGUCAACAACAUAGUUGACUAAAAAUACGAUUUAAAUUGCAAAAGUUAUAAACCUCCCUAAAUUCUUUCGAAUAUGGUGAAGUAUUUGUAGUUGAAGUUGUAGCCUCAAAUGCAUGUAUAGCUCUCAGUUUCCCUUUUUCUUUUGUUAUGGCAUUUAUUACACAAACACAAUAUUGGUGAAAAAUAAAGUAUGUCCAAAUGAAAAUGACAACAUGUUCCGAAGUUGUUUGAUAAAAUGCAUGAGAGAAAUGUUUUAAUUGUUAUGGCUAAUUCGGAGGUCAACAUAAUGGAGUAUUUUAAGGAUUUUUCUUAAAAAGCACUAUACAUUUGUUAGAGACACACCACAUACUCACCAAAAACUUUAAGGUGAUAUGUGUGUGAAUUCUCUCACUUAUAAAUACUAAAAUCUCCAUAUUCUUAACUAAUGUGUGACUUUUCCAUACUACUCACAUUUAUAAUUCUUUUUCAAUGUUAACCUAAGAAAAAUUCUAAUGCAACCUCUUCAAUGAGCCUAAAUUUUUCUCUAAUCAAAAUUCUUCUUGCAUUUCCUAAAUCUCAAACACCAGUUUUAUUUUUUUAGUUUUCAUUGUCGCUAUUUUGUUAUGAAAGUACCUUCUAUUUUGAAGAACCGACUUCUCUACCAACCGACACAUACCUAGCCUUCUUUGUUAACUUUUAAUCUUGUUCGAAUCAAUUUAUUUCUCUCUCCAUACUAUUCUGAAAUACAAAUCAAUCAAAGGUAAAAUUUUCAAACUCUUACCAAAGUUAGUCUAGUCUCUGAUGCUUGAAAUAAGAGUGAAUUACAUCUUGGUUUUCAUCUAAUAUCAUAUUCUUGAUGGAUAAGUAUUUCUUUGGGACAUACAUCUUGAUCCUAUUCUUGCAUUCAUGUUUUGACCAAAGGUUCCACCGUCUUUACUUAAGCGCCGCCCGAGUCUAGAUCGAGUGAUUUUCUGAAUAAACGAGCAUGACAAAAUCACUAAAUUAAGGACUAAAUAUCAACGAAUUAUUCUUAAAAAAACUGAAUUUGAUAUAACUGUAAUAUAACCCUAUGUAAAUCUUGGAUAACUAACUUGGCUUAGGACUAGAAAUAGCCAUGGUUUGUACAAGAACUGUUGCUUGAACAUUCUUCGCUUUUCCUUUCGAUAUAACGUGAACUAUGCAAGACACUAGCUACCAUGUAUUCCUCAUACAUGUUUAUCUUCAUUCCACUAUAGUGAUCCUUCAUAUGGAUAUGAUUAUUGAUAUGCUAACUUCCAAUCCCAACUUAGUAUUUGUGUUUCUCAAGAAUUUUCCAAUCCCUGAUAAUUAGUGAUAAGUCUCUUUCAAAUAUGGUCUACAACUUGCAUAUACUUAACAGUUUGAACAUUCAUAUGAAACUAUACCCUAACAUGCACUACUCAUACUCUCUUCAAUACAUUUUAAACAAAAUGUCAAAAUUGAUUGAGCAUUUCGACAAUAUACUUGUUAUCUAGACCAAAUUUCAAGCUAAACAUUUUAUUAAAGAGAGUUCAAUAGCUUCACGAAUUAGCAUGGCAAUACGUUAUCAGGGUGCCCCGAGGCAUUUUGUCGAACAGAUCAGAUGUACGAUCAAGUUGAAAAGGCAUAUUUUUGUUAUAGAUGGCAAUUUCUUUGGUUGCCACCUAUAGCGAAGAUAUCACCGGAGUGAACGAUAUAUUUCUGAUGAGAGGUUGAAACAUAGCUAAAUUAUUUUCUUGAAAGCAUGGAAGAGUUCCUCAAAUUAAGCGACAUUUAACGAAAAGUAAAUAAGGAAAGGUCGAAUAUUUAGCCACCAAUAGAUUUAGGUAGUGACUCAACUUUUUAUAUAUUUUAGUUGUAAUAUAACAAUGUAACACGUUUUUUUUAUAAGUAACGCAUUGCAUAAUGCUAUAAAAUUGAAUGGUAUUUUUUGGACAUUUUUAUUUUUUAAAUUUUAUUAUGCAUAAUUAGCAUGGUUAUAUUCUGCAUAAUUUUUUGAUGGAUCCGGAGAUACAUCUUUAAACACAUCAUUUUUAUUAAUCAGGGGAGCAUCCGAAGACGCUUCUAUGAAAAGACCCCCUUUUUAAAUAAAAAAAGUGGAUCAGGAGAUAUAUCUCUGAAGUAUUCCACUACAAACAUGGUCAAAUAUGUAAGGUUCUUAUUGCUCUAAAACUUCUACAAAUAGGGUCUCUCGAUCCAUUUUUUUUUGCACAAAACAUAAUGACUACAUAUCCCCAUCUUGGAUUUGUGCAUUUCAAUAGCACAAAACUCCACUUCAAUUUCGAUUCUGCAAGGACAUACUUCUUGUCAAUCUGAAAAUUAAAUUGAAUACUCUCUUGUGAUAUUCAAAGAAUUGUCAAACUUGAGUACCAUUCAUCCUCGAUAGACGACAAAGGGAAGAUACCGCUCACAAUGCUUGAACUAAAGACGGCUAAUGAUUUGAAGGUGAUGUAGAGUAUCUUUUACCGUCACUCAACAAAUAAUCUGAUUGAAGUGGAUGCGAUGAUUCAAAGAUCAACCGAAGAUGUUAUAAGAAUGUUGCAAUGUCCCGAACCACCUAUUUUUAAUAACAUGUAAUGUUAAAUUUGAGAAAUGUUUAUCUAUGUAAGAUUUAUUUUGGAUCUAAUUUAUGUUGGUUCAAUUCCAUUCUGCCAUUGUUGUUUCCGUUUGUUUCUAUUUUUUUUAACAACGCAUAUUCUGGAGACACAUCUCUGAAAAUUCACUAAAUACUGAACUAAAGGGGGUAACGAAGAUGCAUCUCUGAAUCAACAUUUAAUGUAUGUAGAGAUGCAUCUCCCAAUCAUUCAUUUUUUACGAAUUAGAGUUUUGCACCAAUUUUACUCUAGUUGUGUAUGGAAAAAUACGUCAGAAAAUGAAUCUUCAAACGCUGAAAAUAUUUUAAUCUUUUCACGAUGGUGUGAAAGAAUGACUUAGGAUGGAAAGAGAAUCUCUCAUAUAAGUUGCCCUCAUUUAAGAUCCAUGCAGACCCCUGUGACCAACCUCAAAAGAAUGCCUUCUAUGGUGACAGCGACAGCUUAAGGUUCUUGAAACAAUUAGUGGCAGCACUCCUCAUCACUCUGUUUUUUGUUUUUUAAUUGAUGAUCUAAUUUUACAAAACUAUUUUUGAAAAUUAUUCUCUAUUUAAAAUAUUAAAAACUAAAAAAUUAAAAUAGAUUUUAGAGUUUUUUAUUUUAGUUUUGAAAAUUACCGAGUGAAAAAAAAAACAAAGAAAAAUAAUAUACUUUUCAAUAAUAAAAAAUUCAUAAUAUUAUUCAAUUUUAAAAUAAUUUUAAAAGUUAGUUUACCAGAUAUUAUAUUAUAUUUUAUUUCAUGGAUAGUCAUAAAAGCAUAUGAAAUUGCAGAGCCACCAUUUGUUAUUGGGGAAAUUGGUGUACCCGUAAAAUUGAGUGAGAGAGAUAGUUGAUAUAUAGUGUAACUGGUGCAAUGGAAUAUUAAUUUGUAUAAAAGCUUUGUAUGUGUAAGUUAGAUUUACAAGUAUUGGAAACAAUGGAAAUAUUAAUUUGUAUAAAAAGCUUUUUCUUUUCAACCUUGGACAAAGGAUGAAGGCAAUUAUGAUAUUGUACCGUCUUUAUAAGUUGAUAUUUCACAGCAAAAUUUUAAGCUAAUCAAACCGCUCCCAAUCUUGAGAUACUUUUGUUGAAGAUGGUGUUGUGGCUGAGGAAGGGUCGUUAGAGUCUUCUGUUACAGUAUCAAAGGUUUCCCAAUGAGUUGUUCCUGUGGCAGCACCACCACUUUGGCCGGAAGGGUUGGAGUUUCUAGCCUUUAGAGAAUCUAACAUAUCAACCAGGCCCUGCACACGACGCACCUGUAGAAGUAUAGAAAAGGUCGUGUUCAAUAUUUAAAUCUCCACAUUGCAUCUUUGCCACAAAACUUAAAGCAAUGUCAAUGGUAUAAAAGCUACCUCAGCUUUUCUCUGCAACUUCGCUUCGCCUUCAGCCUCAAUACCAUCCAGUUUCAGCAAUUGUUUCAUAAGCAACUCUGUCAACAAGAGAAACUCUUUCUCAGAAGCCUUGUCCCCUGCAUUGAUAGCCACUUCCAAGACAGACACCUGAAAAAUUACAAUUUCGAUAUUAUUAUUUCCCAAUUAAUAUGUUUAUACUAUGAUAGAAUAGCUACAUAUUUCAAAAACAUGCUUACUCUAUCAGAGAGCUUGUCCACCUCAGCUCUAACACCAGUAAUAGCUUCAAUAGCUUUAGACAUCUCAUUGAGUUUUCGGGUUUCCUCAAGCUUCUUCUCUUUGCUAGCAGCACGCUCCAAAAGCAAAAUCUUUGACUUAUCCUUCACACCUUCCAAGUGCAAUUUCUCCCUAUCAUUCUUUUCUAUUCCUCUGAAGAAAAUUCGUUGUUGUUCAGACUCUAAACCAGUUUUAUUUACAAGCAAUUUUUUUAAAUCUCCUGUUAUUGAAAACACAAACAAGAUAAACACAUAUAUCAAUGACAAGAUGCGACUUUAUUAAAGAAUCGGUAACUCGAGUCUAUAAGACGCAACUAUUGAUGCAGAAGUUUUGUCCCUUUGAGCUAUUUAAAAGUUACACUAGUCCGGUAAAUAAUUUGAAAACUACAAUUUAAUGAGUCUAAAGGUCAUGCACACUAAUUAAGGAAAAAACCCAAAUAUUUUCCCUCUUUUUCUUCAAUUUUGAAAAAGGGUCAGCACUCUUCAAACACAAAAACAUUUUAUUGUGAAGUAACCUUCAACAAUUAUGUACAGAGGAAAGAAUCGUGAAAAGUAUGGUGUAGGUUCACAUUGCAACAACCUACUCACAUCAUAAGUGCAGUAGAGUAACAUAUUCGGUUACUUAUAAGGAGUGGGAUUGAAAGGAAAGGCCGGCAAGAGGAACAAGCAGGAAUGGGCAACAACCUAAUAUCUACCGCUUAAGAAAAAAGGAAAACAAUAUCUAACUUUCUAGCUAUGACACAAUUGGCAAAACAUGUUAAUGUUUAAAUAUCUUGAACCAAAAACUUUUUUUCAAAUAAAACCAACUUCGUAAUAUAAGAAACUCAUAUCAAGUAUUUUAUCAUUAUGAAUCAAGUUCUCUUACUCUCUAACAAUACCUUUUAAACACAUAUCACUAAAUAUUCACAUCAUGAUUUAGGCAAUCAAUUGUUGUGAACCAACAUUGUCUACAGUAUGCUUAUUUGAGCAGUUUGAUCGCAUUUCCUUUCAGAGAAGUCAAUCCCAGAUAGCGGCACGGAGCGGCCGACCCCAAAACCAGAAUAGCGGGAUGGCCGCUAUUUGAUCCUUUUUUGGACAAAUUACAUGAAUAAUAAUUAUAAACAUAUGAAGUACAGAGGGAAGAACGAAGUGCCGAGAGGGUCAGGGAAGAACUUGAGAUUUUUCUUUGGAAUGGCUGAAGUGUAGAAAGGUCGGUAAAGGAAGGUUAGGGUUGAAUCUCAACUCAAAUUUGAUUGAAAAAGGACUAUUUAGCCUAUAACGGCCACUAAAGUGUUAUCCACCGCUAAGGCUCUUCCCAUUGCGGACAGCCUCCCCUACGCCCCGUUAUAGCGGGAUAGCACCGCUAUUGACUAUUCUGUUUCCUUCCCGGUUUGAGCGGCUUAAAACAAGUGAGCUAUGACUUGGAUGUCUAUUAGGUUUGAUGUUUGGUUUUUAAAGCAUUGAACUUAGCCAAUAAACCUUUUAUUUCAAUUUCCACCACAAAUCCAACAAUUUCUAAUCUAAUAAUUCAAGCACAACACCACAAACACUAAUCUAAUAAUUCGAUCACAACACCACAAACAACAUGGGAAUGGAUCCCCUACUAUUAACGUGUGAUAACUUUCAGCAGUCUGAUCCAGUUUAUAUUCUACAAUGUAGUUUAACCUAACUUAAGGGUGACAACAGUAAGAUUACAAUUCAUCCGCAGAGAGUUUCUACAGCAUACAAUUGAGUUAUUCCACCACCGCAGGAAAUGCAGGUACCAUAAACAAAUUAAAAGUGUUUAGAUAUAAAUAAUUUGAACUUAAGAGAUUUUAAUAAAAAGCAUAACUAAUGGUUGAAAAUGAAAACUAUAAUGUCAAAAUAGUUUUUCAUUAAUACGUCCAGAAACUCUGUUUUCUCACUCUUCUAUCAAAAGCUUUACACAUAACUUCAACAUAAAAAUAAUCUUUUUUUUAAACAAUCUUAAACAAAUGGACUCGAACUCGUAAUCACUAGUGUCACCGUUUUUGGUAUCUUCGCCGUGAUUCUAAACACUUCACACUCAAGUCUAUAAAUACAAUGACAAAACCGAAAUUAAAGUCAUAAACAAUCAAAUUCGUUAAUUAUCGAAGAGGAGUCGUGGAUUGAAAGAGAGAGAGAGAGAGAGAGAGAGAGAGAGAGAAAGAGAGAGAGAGAGAGAAAACUCACCGAAAGUUGAUUGGGCUGGGAGAUGGAUCUGGUGAAGAGAUGAACCGUAAGAAACAUUGAUUUUAAGAGAGAGAGAGAGAGAGAGAGAGAGAGAGAGAAAGAGAGAGAGAGAGAGAAAACUCACCGAAAGUUGAUUGGGCUGGGAGAUGGAUCUGGUGAAGAGAUGAACCGUAAGAAACAUUGAUUUUGAUUGUGGGUCCACCGACUCCGUCGCUAUCGGAUAAUCUGCCGGAUUUCGUGUCUGGCGAGAUCUCGACGGACUGUGCCGGCGGCGAGGCGCCGGCAGUGUCUGAGAAGCUGUUCAUGAAGAGGCGGUUUGGUAAAACGCAAAGAAACGGUGCGUUUUGUGGAAGGGGAAAGAAUGGGUUUUUUUGUUAUAUAGUGGACUGAGAUUGACUCGAGGCCCGGUUUGUUUUUUUAGAGAGAACGUUGAUCCACGUCAUCAACUUUUCGGUCUUUUUAAUAUUUGAAAUGAAUUUACGAUAUUUUUACCAUGAUCGGUUCGAACAAGAUAAGGUUAGAUUGAUUAGGUGCAGGAAGUUGUUGGAAGCCUCGGUUUGCUAGAUUUCUCGACACUGCACAUGCUGUUGUUAUUCGCCUCGAUAUGAACCUUUAUUUGAUAGGGUGUUGUUGCUUUGAGAACUAGUGGACUGUCCAUUUCCUAUCAUAGUUUAUGUUUCAAUUAUGAUUUUCAUAAGCAGAAACACAUAAUUAUAGAAAAAAUUGAAGAAGAAAAAUCAAAAACUAAAACACAUAAACAAAAACAUAAUUGCAUAAACAAAUGAACAAAAACAAUGCAAUGCAAAUGAGCGAAAGAGACACACCAAUUUCGUAAAGGCAAACACAACUAAGUAAUAAAACCUAUAAAGACAAUGUUCACAUAAGUUUAUUUUCCUAAUUUCAAAAGACAUUAACAUAAAGGGCUAGGUACACUGUCGAGGGACAAGUGAUCCUGCGAAAUCAAAGGUCGUUUGAAAUUGACCAUUAUACCCCUGAACGUUUCUAAUAGGCCCUCCAGUUGAGCUUCACCUGUCUAAAUUAACUCCACAUUGUACCAUAUAAUUAAUUAGACUUUAUAUUACAAUUAUUUAUAAAUAAUAUUUUUCAAUUGUUUUUUAUCUUGAUGGUCAGUUAGAGGGAUGAACUACAAUAGGUGUCUGAAACACGCUAUAGUAGUCUAUCGCAAUCUAUUGGAUCACAUUGGACCAGACGAUGUAAUACUCCUACAUAAUUCUAUUUUAAUUUAAAAUUACUUAUCAAAUUAUUUAUCAUCUAAUCAUGUCGUAUUGUUGUGCAGAUUAUCUAGAGGCUAUAUCUGGGUCUUGAUCAUCAGGUUAUCCAUGAUGAUGCUGCAGUUUAGACAGCAAAGACACCAAUUAUUCGGUUCACUACUAUGGAGAUGCACUAGAGUGGCCGGAUAAAAGUGCAGUUCGACAUGCAGCAACAAAUUCAAGAACCUCUGACGUGUUUGGGAGAUUGACAUCAAAAAAGAAUCGAUGUCCAAUGAGAUUAUUCCGACUAGAGAGACUUCAGAAAAGAGAUGUGUCGUCAUUGGAGGAAUCGACGACAACACAUCUUAAAUGAACCAGGCAUACAUGAUGCUAGAUCAACUCAACAAUAUAUGACAUAGUUUAGGUCGGUUACAAUGCAACAAUUUAUGUCUGAGUCAAGGUAUUUGAUUGAUCCACGCCAACUAGCUUCAUCAUCAUAUGCCCAAAAAUAAGUCCUCGUCCAACACCAAUGUCAAACCACCCAAAUCCAACAACCAACCUCACACCAUCCGUACCACAUACAUCCAACUUCGCAACACAUUCAUGCCAAACACCCAACCUCGCAAUCCAUUUAUGCCACCCACCCAACCUCAAAACCAAGAAUCAAACCCUACCCACCAAUAACCAUACGCAGCCACCACAACAGUCUAUAACCUAGAUGAUUCAUACGAUUCACUUCAUCAUAGCCCCUCACUAAUGACCACCCAAACAUCUCAUCACCACAACAUCCAAUCAUCGUUUAACUAUAGUACACCACCAGGAACCAUUACUUCGUUUCUAAAACGAUUCAAUGUCCCAAUCCGGACAACUAUACCAUCCAUAAUUCACCCAACCACAUCGAUCCAACUACGACAACAUGGGCACCGAAUUACAUUACGGAAGCGUCGUUGGUCAGAGCCCCGAGCUAUUGGGAACAAAUGAUGACAUAUCUAUCAAAUACCGUUGGACCUUCCACCGGACCUUCACACCAGCCACCAUUGGAUCAUGUCAGCACUUAAAGACCUCAAACACCUCAGGAAAAUCGUGGGAGACCUCGAAGACAGACUAACGCACCUAGAUGUGGAAUAAGGGAACAUUUUGAUCGGGCCGAUCAUUGAAUUUUUGGUGAAUUCCAUGUAAUUUUUAUUAUAACAUAAAUAAUUUUUUUCAAUAUCUUAUUUAAUUAAUUGUUAAAUAAACCAUUAAAAAUAAAAAAUAUAUAUUUAGGUGUACGCGCCAGAUGAAUUGGCGCAUACACCAAUGCACAUGCACAUGCGCCAUGGUUGUUGGCGCCUCCAUGCAAUGCUUUGAAAGCAUGCGCCAACAUCAGUGGCGCCUCCUCUUCAUAUUAAAUGGAUGCGCCAGUUGAUCUGGCGCAUCUGUUUGGAAAGAUGGUUAUUCCGAUAAUUUUUUUGAGUAAAUGGUUAUUUCAAAAAUUAAUUUGAAAAAUAUGGUUAUUUAAAAAAAAAUCACACUUACUGCCUUAUCAGACAUAUAAACUUCUAGACAUUCACUGAAAGAUCAUUGUCAUCUUAUUAAGCAUAUAGUUGUUGAAUCUUCAUUGAAGGAUCAUUUUCUCCUUAUCAAACAUAUAAUUGUUGGACCUUCAUUGAAGGAUCGUUGCGGCCCUAUUAGACAUAUGAUUGUUGGACCUUCACUGAAGGAUCAUUGUUGCCUUAUCAGACAUAUGAUUGUUGAGCCUUCAUUGAAUAAUCUUUUCCGCCUUAUCAGGCAUAUGAUUGUUGGACAUUCAUUGGACGAUCUUUUUUGCCAUAUCAUACAUAUGUUUGAUGGGCAUUCCCUGAACGAUCCUUGCCGCCUAAUUAGUCAUACGAUUGUUGGAAUUUCACUAAAGGAUCAUGUUUCGGGCUUACCAAAAGGCCCAGAAAGCGAAGGUCUAAUAGCAAAGAAAGAAGCUACCACAUAAAUUAUAGGUAAGCUUUAUGUCAUCCAUCUUGUAGAGUAUCCCUCACGAGGUUGUCAUGCCUGAAGUUGCAUGUCUCUGCUAUAUUAAGAGAGAGAGAGACCAUACAAGUCUCUUAUAUAUAGUUUUGUUACUUGUCUCUUAAGCUUUGUUUUGGUUUUAGUUUAUAUCAUUGAGUCUCUUCUUUAAUUGCACAGUUUUGGAUUGAGUUUUGGAUCCGUAUUUUAUCAUGCAUAAUUCAAUUCAUUUAUGUUUGAGUAUGAACAUUUUGCUUUAAGUUAAUUAGUUAAGUUUUUGGAACAAGAACCAUAUUUGAGAUUGGUUCAAGUCAUGUCACAAGUAAAAUCUCAAAACAUCUUUUGAAACUUCAAAAAUUAAGAUUUUAGGUGUGUGAUUCGAAUCACACAUCUUAUGAGUCAAAUCAAAGCAAACAAAGGUGUAACAGGAAGUUUGUGAUUCUGUGAGUCGAAUCACAUGUUACACAUGAUUCGAAUCAUGUAACUUUGCGACUAAAAUCACAAGUUACACAUGAGUCAAAUUGUGAAACUCAUGUCAUCCCCUACCUUGUUUGAGUCGAAUCAUGGCUUCUUCAUGACUCGAAUCACAUUAUACACUUGACUUAAAUAAUAGCAAAAUGGGUUUCUCAUAAAGUGUAAAUCUUGUUUCACAUUACUUUGUCACUUGACUCAAAUCGAACAAGUGUUCAUGACUCGAAUCAAACAUGAUUUUUCACUACUUUUUGUGCUUAAUAUCCAACACCUAUAAAUCAUUUUUUUAUUCUCAAAUCAUUCACAAUAUUAGAAAACACAUUCUUCCAUAAUUGAUUUGUAAACUCACAAACCACUUGUCCUUUCAUUUUUCAAAAGAGCUUUGGAUCUCUUGUGAAUACUUGCAACCAAUUUCUUUCAUCUUCUACCUCUUUUUUUUCAAUGUUGCAUUGAUCUGAAUCUUAUCUUGUAAGAUUCAUAAUUUUUGAGGAGAUUUGUUUUUGAAUUUAACUUGUCUUUGAAUAUUUGGUUAAGGUUUUAGAGGCUUGCAAGGGUGUGUGGUGUUGUGACUAGUUCUGACGAUUUCAAUGGAAAAGAUGGAGGUUCUUCUCACUAGAUUGACCUUGAUAGUAUUGUGUGAAAUCCUACAUAAAUGUUAUGGGUUCUUCGCAAUCUUCGGACAGGCUAACACUCAAGAUACUAAUAGAUUCGAGUAAAGAUUGCCACAGACUGAGACUUAGGAUAAGGUUGUUAGGGCUGGAAGAUUCACUAAGGAAAUUGGAGUAAAGAUUUCGCAUAAAGUUCAAUUCGUGAAGCUGUGUACAAGUCAAAGAUCCAGAUAUAAGAAAUUUAUUUUUAGCAUUUAUUUUGGAUAUUGUGAUUGUACGAACUCAUUUAAUUUUUGUCACAAAUUUUAUUGAAAGACCAAUUAAUUUUCAAUGGGCAACCAUUGGAGAAUGGAUUAAGUACAAAGUGAGGACUAACAUGCCAAACCACUAUAAAUAUCGGUGUAUUAUCUUCUCUCUAUCUCUCUCACAUUUAAUUUUGUAGUUAAUCACAUGUUUAAGUUGUUCUUUAUUUAUUUCUAGAAUUACAUGUCAUUAGGAUUUUAUCUAUCUCUCUCUCACUUAAAACCGGGGUUGUAGAAUCUUAUCGCUAUUGAUAAUUGUAUAAUAACACUACUUAUGUAAUUGAUCAAUUACCCAAUCCAAAGCUAGUUUGUUCAUUUGGUUUGAUUUGUUAUCAAUCUUGAUUGUAUUGUGGGUUGUUUAAGUAUCUUCUUGUUAAUUCUAAUCAAUAAGCAUAAUUUCUCUAUUCACCAAAAUUGUUUUCUGCUACGUAAAAUAAAGUUUAUUUUUGAAAAUCUAAUAAAAAAAAUUCAAAAUACUUUUCAAAGAAAUUUUAACUUGGGAGGUCUAUUCACCCCCUCUAGAGCAUUUAUUGUCCAUAUUCUCACCCAACAAUGCCAACCUCCCAAAUUAAUCCAAUGGUUGGCCGCAUCCCACUCCAUUCCCCACGUAUGCAAUUACAACCCAUUUAUCCAUUUUAAAAAGGAAAACAUGUCACUUCAUAGGCACUCAAAUUGUUUCUUAUUCAAACUUUACUUCUUACUCUCUUACUAACUUGAGGGUUGUAGUGCUAACCUUGCUGGUCAUCCUCCAUCUCUACCGCAUCACCUAAAACCACUCCCACAUACCCUAAUUUCACUCUCUCUGAUCAUCAUAUAGUUCUAGAAAAGAAAAUUGGCUUCGCCUGUGGAGAUCAAAUCCUGAUUCAUGCGAUCAACAUGAUCUCUAUUUUCUCGAUUCAACCGAAUCACCUCCAAUAGAAAUCUAUACCUUCUUCAACCGAAGCAUAGAUCUCCAUUCCAUGAUCAAUUCUAUCUAGUUUAGAUUCAAACGUUUCACCACUAAAUUCAUCCAUUGGAGGAUUCCAAAUCCACUAGCUCCAUUGUCUAAUAGAAAGUCACUGUAGCUGUCGAAGUUUCUAGGAAUCCUCCUUAGUGGAUGUAUGAUCGAAUCCUAACAAAUAAUUCAUUCACUCCUCCGCCACAAAUACAUGUGCAACCUAGAACGUAUCAAGGAACUUCUUAACCUCCUGUAUUCCUUAGAUCUACAAUGCAGUUCCAUCUAAGAUAACGUUCAUUCUUACCUUUGCUAUCGCCUAUGAUGUUCGAACGAGAGGUGUUCCCCAUCUUUUAGAUCUUGCAAGAUAAUCUUGUCCUACAGUGAUCCAAUGAACCAUUUACCAAUGUGUAUCUGAUGGUUCAGCAGCAGUACUUCCAUGCCUUGGCAGCAAUACUAACUGAAAUCGAAUAAAGUCUACAUAACACCCAACCAUAGAAGAAGAACCCUUUGUCCACUCACAUCUUGGAUAGAAUGAUCGCGAAGUCACUGGAGAAGCCCCUGAAGCUCCAGAGUUAUAAAGAUACUGAAUAAAAUUAUGUUCUUAGGAGGACAAAUGUUGGACCACAUGCAUGGGAAAAUGUGUACAAGUGGUUUAUGACAAAUAAUAGAUUAUGUGGACAGAUGUCAGACUCGAUGUCUGGGACAUUGUAUACUAGAAAGUAAAAAUCAGUUACACAACCAAAUUAUGACAUAUUAACUUAUAUAAGAUGAUGAAGCAAAAAAGCAAUGAAGAACACAAUAAUUGUUAACCCAAUUCAAUGUAAACCACACUUACAUCUGGGGGAACUCUACCCAAGAAAGGAAAUUCAGUCUUAUAUAAAACUAGUACAAAGUAUCUUAGAUGAACAAGCCUAUUGUUCAAUGCCUCUUCUUCUUAAUUCUACCCUAGUGUAUUUAUAUUUAGGACUCCCUCUAAAUAUGAGAACCCCCUAUCACUUUCUCUCAAUCAAUAAUCCCAAGUGAUCAACAUCAAUAAACACAAUAUUGAGUGUUGAAUUAAAACUAAAUUAAACAAACCAACUACUACACUUUAUGAAUGAAGCAAUAACAUGGUGUACAAUUAAUACAAAUACUUUGUUCUCAAGCUUAUAGAUUUAGUAUCUUGGAACAAAGUUUUACAACUCAACUAACAAACCAAACUAUAUGCCUUAAGAUAUGAAUUCAGGCGUUAUAAUGGUGCACAACAAUAAUUUAAACAAAGACUCAAAAAUAGAAAAACUAACACAAAGAGUCUUCAAAACAUGCACACCUCAAACACGAGGUUUGAGUCUCCUUAAAUACCAAUCUAAUUCUGGGCUUUUCCAAUGGGCGUUAGCAGCUCUGAUUUCGUCCAGAAUUGUAGCUGAUAUAGUUGGAUUUGAUUUGCUCCACAAAAUUCUCCAACAAAAGAUAUGAUUUAUUAUUAAUUAAAAUUUAAAUUUAAAUCUCCAUUUAAAUCUAUUUGAUAUUUAAACAAAUGCCAAACAAAUCACAAAACACAUUUCUAAACAAUAGCAACAAAUAUGAUUGAAAUCCAUUCAAAAAAUUCGCUCCAAACUACAACAAGUUGGACCUGUUGUCAAGGGCCAAAUAUUGCACUGCACACACACUAGAACAUCAUGUUCCACAUUUUGCACCAGAACGUCUAAAAUUUUGGAUUAAAAAUAUGAACCGAAAAUUCCUUCAAAGCAAGUCCAGUCAAAUAUUAUUUGACUAAAUCAAAUUCAAAUAUUUUCAAAUCGAUUUGGACUAACAAACUUCUUCCAAAAGUAAACUUCUGCAUCUUUUGAAAAAGUUAACUCCACAACAAUUCUUAAGGAAAUCUAAAGAUAAUCAGAACUCAAUACUUACACAAAGAUGUCACAUAACAUGUGCUGAAUAUAUUGCUUACAAUGAGGUCUUUCUGUCAAGCAUUUAACAAAACCUUGGACUGAAUAAAUCUUCUUAAAAGCAAACAUAAUCAUGCUCAUAUUUCUUCAUGGAAUCUAGAUAAUAGACUGAGGCCAGAUGAUGGAACACAUGCUGGAACAUCUUGUUCUACAUGUUGCCUCUACACAAAAUACAUCUUGUACAUGUGUUGUUUUACCUAAUCCAGACAAUCAAAAGGAACAACACUGGAGAUCAGAAUCAGCAUGUCGUGCACGUAGAUGAUCGAUUGGACUACUACCAUGCCAACCGAGACGUGGAGUGAAAACUCUUUGCACUAACCUUUAUUAAAUCAACCAUACCCUGGUAUAAGUCUAUUUUGGAUGGAAUUAUAGAUUCUUAGCCCAACUUGUGUGAGGCCUUUGCCUCCCAUUUCACUACUAAGAAAAGGACACCAACAACUAUGAUCGUGCUUAGCACGGUCACGCGGGGUGAUAAGGAAACCCUAUACCGCUAUAUUGAUCAUUUUACCAAGGUAGUUGUAAGUGUUGAAGGAUUCGAUGAGAGUCUGACGUAAUGGAUUUUUUAGAAGGGUCUUCGAUCGGACUAUGCAUUCUAGGAGAAGUUAGGAUGCAAGAAGUUCUAUAAUCUAAAGGAUUUAUUGAGUUAGGUGCAGCCGUACAUCAACUAUGAAGAAAAUAAGUUGGCCGACAGAGGUAGACGGGUACUAGAGGGCAUGGGAUAUGUCAGACCAUUAGAGAAAAACUAUAGGUGGUCCAAGGAAGAAAAUAAACGCAGACCCCACUAAAGGUUCAACAUGUAUACUUCCUUGAAUACUUUAAGGGAGAGGAUCUUGAAGGAGUGUGCCAACACAAAGUUUAAGGAGGUCGGGAUAAAGAUCCCAUAUCCAGUCAAGGAGUCUGCAUGGACAAACAUGUCCAAGUAUUGUUGUUUUCACAAGAAUUAUGACCACAACACCAACUAUUGCAUCAAAAUGAAGGAAACGAUUGAAAGGUUAACCAAUAAAUGGAGGUUAUCUGAGUAUACCAAGGAUGGUAAAAGGAAUUGAGAAGAUUCCCUCAAGAGGUAAGCACUGGAGAAGAUGAAAGGCACAAGGGGAAGCGUCAGUGCAUCGCUUCCAUCAUGGGAGGUUCUCCGAAGGUAAGCAAUUCGUCCAAGAGUACAGUAAAAAUGGAGACUAUUGAGCUAAUGGUCGUCAGCAAUAAAUAGAGGAUCACCUUUACCAAGAGCCCGAAGAGACCUAUCCUUGAAUUUCAGGAUAGCGAAAAGGUUGGGGGAAGAUCCUGCGACAUUAUGUAGUCAAAUCUCUUUGAGAAGAUGAGGUUGAAGAAAGAAAAGUUGUGGUCAUAUGAGGGGCCUGAUCUACAGGCCUUCUGUGAAUCUAUGUGCUUGCAAGUAUGACAUAUGCAAUGAUCUAUUUGGUUUUUAUGUUGACAAUGCUCUUAAGAGAAGUUUCAUCAGUCCUGUUUUUCAAGGCUUAUUGAUUUAAAUGAUGACUAGUGAAGAUGUCAUAUGAUAUGAUGAUCAAGUGGUAAUGCUUAAAGAUCAAGGUGUCAUCAAAUUAAUUUGUGGUAGUCAAGUUAUGACAAUGUGUGUUGCUUGGAGGUCAAGAUAUCAAAUCCUUUAUAUGGAUGACAACACCUUAUAUCAAGCAUCAUUUGGUGAAGCCAACAAAGAUUCUAACCAGUUAAUGUGUCUAGUGAUGGUGUUUAUCAUGAAGGGUUAUCUAAAGCCUCAUUAGAAGAAGAUUCAAGGUUCUAGUGAAGUAUUAAAGUCAAGAAAGCUUCAAAGUUAUGAAAGAGAGGAAGUGUAAAAACUCGUCGAGUCAGUUUCAAGUGAUCAAUACCUGUAAAGGUAUAAGGAUAACUCUCGAAUUUAUUAAGGAAAAUCACAGACACAUUUUUACCAUUGUGAAAAGCAUGUAUGUUUUAUUAAAAUUUCCAGAAAAUGUUUUUGUGCCUAGCUAAUUCGCUAAGACUUUUUUUGUGCAUUGUAUAAUCGAUUAGCCCUUAGGCUUAAUCGAUAUCCCUUAUUAUAAUGUGUCAUAAUUAACUAUUAGCGUUUCACGCAGCAGGUCUAUCACAUCUAAAAAUAUAUGACCUCUAGAGCGUUCGCGCGCUCGCGGAAUGUCAUUGAACAGAGUCGCCACCGAACUUUAUUUAUUCCAAAGAAGGAAGGGAAAAUAUUGAUAGAACCCUUAAAAGAAAAAGAGUAUGAUCGUCACAACCAAAUUCGAGUUUGAGAGUCUGAUGACAGUCCAUCAUUGCAUGAAAUUUGGCAAAGAAUUGGAGAAAAAUAAGCGAAAGAUGAGCCAAAAGGAAGAACAAAGACCCAAGAAUGAGGAGAAAAUAGCUAAGUGUGAAGGAAUUGUACUUAGUAAAAAUUCAAGUAAAGAAAGAGCUUUUUGGUGCAGCUACUGGAAUAAUCAUGCGCAACAUCGCACGCGCGAUAAGGAUGUACUAGUUACAUCGUGCACGAUACAUAUUUAAUGCGCCCGAUACUGAUUUUUUCUAAGGGUUACAAAUUUUGGCAUAUGAAGUACAAUUUUUACAACAUCAAGGGUGAUUUUAAGAGCAUUGGAAGUCAUUAGAGGCCAAUCCCUCAAGGGAAUUCAUAUGUUAUUCUCAUUAUUUCAAUUGGUAUUGUAAAUUGAAUGAGUAUCUAAACUCCUCUAUGUUAGGUUGUGUGUGAUGAACCUUUUUCUCUAUUGUUGGAUUAUAUGUUAAUUUGACUUUGAAUGAACCCUUUGAUCUUUAAUUCUAUACAAUUAUUUAUUAUUCUUAAAGCUUUUUAUUUGAGAUACUUUAUUAAACUGAUUUCGGGUACAUAGAGAAUAUUGACCCUUAGCCUAUGUGUUUGACCUAGGGCAAUUGUGAUACUUAUGUUAGAACAAGAUUUGGUUCUGCAUCUAUAUCUUGAGUUUUAAUGAUAAAAAUAUUGUAUUUGUGUGUGAACUGGUACUCUAAUGGUUUGUGUCACUACACGAAAAAUAUAGAGUCACCAUCGGUUUUUAUUUAUUCCAAAGGAAAGGGAAAAAUAUCGAGAAAACCUCAAAGAAUGGUCAUCGCAACCACGAACAGGUUCAGAAGUCGGUUAUGCAAGGGGAAGGUAUUAACAUCCCUCACAUCCACGGUACUCCAUGGGAACCAUCUAGGAUAUUUGCGCUUACGUGUGUAUUCUUUUAUUGCUUUAUAGCUACUCCUUAGGCAUUAUGAGCGAUCACUCUUUCACAACCAAUAAUCAAACCCUUAAUCCAACGUCAAGCAGUCUUUUUUCCAAAUUAAACUCAAAAAACACAAUAAAUGGCGAUUAGGAUUGUAAGCAACGAGCCUUAAGUGGUAAAGAAGGGAUGAGACUGGAGCUUUCCUACACUCAUCCUGAAUGCUUCGAACACAAGACGUUUGGUUUGAUAGUUUGAGGUAUUCACCUUUAUCCAUAGUCUUUAGUGCAAUCCAAAAUCAAUAACACUUUCUCAAAACCUAAAAACAAUUCAACGCAUUCAAACCUUUUGUUUGAUCCUUAGGGCGACACACUCGAAAACCCUUCUUCAAGGUAAUAAAAUCAACAAAACACACAAACAUUUUAAAAACCCACGAACUACGGGACUCUGAUUUCUCACUUCAACAAAUGGGCAUACGUAGGCACAAAGACCCAAUCCUUGGCGAGCACACUAAUUUAAAAUCUACCUCCACUCUGCAAACCUUUGGCAAGCAAGCAUUCGAUAAACAAUACACACGUAAGCGCAAACAUCCUAGAUGGUUCCCAUGGAGUACCAUGGAUGCGAGGGGGGCUAAUACCUUCCCCUUACAUAACCUACUUUCGAACCUGUUCGUGAUUGCGAUGACCAUUCUUUGGGGUUUUCUCAAUAUUUUCCCUUUCCUUUGGAAUAAAUAAAAAUCGAUGACGACUCUGUAUUUUUCGCGUAUCGACAACUGGCGACUCUGCUGGGGAUAUAUGAUCUUCUCGCACAACAGGUAGCAACGUAGGCAUAAGGACCCAAUCAUUGGCGAGCACACUAAUUUAAAAUCUACCUCCACUCCGCAAACCUUUGGUAAGCAAGCAUUCGAUAAACAAUACACCCGUAAGCGCAAACAUCCUAGAUGGUUCCCAUGGAGUACCAUUGAUGUGAGGGGUGCUAAUACCUCCCCCUUGCAUAACCGACUUCCGAACCUGUUCGUGGUUGCGAUGGUCAUUCUUCGGGGUUUUCUCGAUAUUUUCCCUUUCCUUUGGAAUAAAUAAAAACCUACGGCGACUCUGUACUUUUCGUGUAGCGACACAUGUGACAUUCAAAAAUUGUCACUAAAAGCCAAUAAAUUCAAAUAUUUCAACAUAGGAAGUUUCACUUCAUAUACUUGGAAUCUUACACAAAAGAAAUCAAAUAUAUAAAUCUUAUAAAAUAAAUCACAUAUAUUUGUAUUUUAAUAUUUUUUGUGUCUUCACUUUCAUAUAUCUAUAAUUUUGAAUAGUCAUAUAUCUUUACUUUCACACAUCUGAAUUUAAAAUAUUCCUGAAAUAAUAAAUAAAUAUUUAUUAAAAUAUAUACUUAAAAAUAACUCCAUUUACAUAAAAUCUUAAAGGAGAAAAACAACAUUAGAAUAUAUUCUAACUAAAACUAAAUAUGACAAUAAUUUUAUAGUGCAAGUUAAUUUACAAGAUCUGACAUAACAAAACGAAACGAAACUUAAUCUACGUCACUCAUAUCUAGUGGUGUAAAGUGCAUAUGGAAAGUAAAAGUUGGCAGCAAAGAAGAAGAAACCUGAAGAAGAAUGAAUGAUGUCGGUGAAAAGGUGGUCGGAACCGCGAUAGCAAUCAGCGGCGUUGAUGGUCCAGCCAGUUCGAUCAAUGAAUCUUUCAGAAGAUGUUAAGUUAACGUUGAAUUGAAAUGGAACAAAAAUGAAAUUGUGAAAAUGAGAUAUUCCAAAAACACACAAAAACUCUUAUCCAACUUAUCAAUUUUUUUGUUAAUUUUUUAAAAAUAUUUUUUAUUAAAUUAAUGGGAUACCAAUAAUUGAUUUAGAUUAACAACUAAGAAAAUUAGAAAGAAAUGUAAAUAAUGUGUAAUCUAAAAUAGUUAAAUAUAAAUUUUAAAAAAUUGAAGAUUCAAUAAAAGUUGGAUAGAGUAAUGACUUGUAGAAAUGAUAAUGUUAUUUUUGUAAGAUUAAUUUAUUUUUGUUUAAAAAUAAAAAUAAAAAAAAUUGGUAUUUUUUCUUUUAUUCUUUUUGGUGAAAAUAUUAUUUUUCAAUAAAAAGUUAUUCCUUUAUUUGUUGAGUCACACAUACUACUUUAUUAAAUGGAAAAAUGUGACAGAUAAAUAAUAUUGUAGAUAAAAGUAUGGGAAAAUGUGAUGGACAUAUACUACUUUAGAGAAAAGUAGUAGUCUUUUAUAAUAAAUAUUAAGACAUCGUUAUAAAUGAGUGUUGGUUUUUUUAGUGAGUUAAGUUUUAUUUUAAGUUUUGUAAACAACUAAAAUCAGUCGCUAUAAUCGGUCACUAAUUUCGGUCACUAAAUGUUAGCGACUAGAACUUUUCGUACUGAAAAUUGGGGGUCACAUUAUUGGUUGCUAACGUAGUAAUUGGUUUUUAGAAUUUUAGGUCUCUAAGUACGUCACUAAGCAUAAAGUUUUUAGUACUGAAGUAAACAAUUAACAUCUAUUAGAAUGUAUUUCAGGACGCUCUAAACAUGGUAAACUCCUAUUGAAAUUUCAAAUCCUACAUAUUCUCUAAUUAAUUUUAUAAUUUUAUUUAUUUAUUUGCACCGUAGAGAUUUUACAACAGUAGAAUGGGAAGAGCAACAAGAAUAACAUGUAUAAGGUUUAUUCCUAGAUCAGAUCAAUGAGAAACAGAGUUUUUCUAAACCUAUAAACCAGUUCGUAAUGAGUAUAAAACAUAAAAGUCAAUCCUUGCAAACCUUAUACAAAAAAAUCAAAAACAACAAAGAAAUAAACUAGGAGGAAUGAAAGAAAAAACUAUCAGCGACAACACACGCGGAGGAGAGCUAUUGUGUGAUACGAAUCGGACGGUUGAGAUCCAACGAUGCAAGUGUGGUGGUUUGGUUAAAGUUGGAGGCGCAACUGUUGUAGUUUUUUGGCGAGUUUCUAAGAUAAUUUACUAGAUCUGACAAAACAAAAUGAACCCAAACCUAAUCUACGUCACUCAGAUCUAGUGGUGUAAAAUGCAUAUGGAAUGGAAAAGUCAGCGACAAAGAAGAAGAAACUUGAAGAAGAAUGAAUGAUGGCGUUGAAAAGGUGGUUGGAACUGCGAUAGCAAUCAACGACAUUGAUGGUCCAGACAAUUCGAUCGAUGAAACUUUCAGAAGAUGUUAAAUUCAUGUUGUGAGAAUGAGAUAUUCCAAAAACACACAAAAAAAACACUUAUCUGACUUAUCAAUUUUUUUUGUUAAUUUUUGAAAAUGAUUUUUUUAUUAAAUUUAUGGCAUACCAUAUUAAUUAAGUUUAAUAGCCAAUAAAAUUAUAAAAUAAUAUAAUUAAAGUAUAAUCUAAAAUAGUUAAAUAUAAAUUUAAAAAAAAUGAAGAUUGAGAAAAAGUUGGAUAUAAAACAGAUUAACACAUGGUAAUGACUUUGUAGAAAAUAUAGAGUUAUUUUUGUAAGAUUAAUUUUUUUGUUUAAAAUUAAAAAAAAAAUUGUUAUAAUUUCUUUUUUUUCUUUUUUGUGAAAUAUUAUUUUUUUUAUAAAAAAAUAUUAAUUUAUUUGUUGAGUCACACAUACUACUUUAUUCAAUGGAAAAAUGUGAUGGACAAAUACUAUUGUUAGUAAAAGUAUGGAAAAAUGUGACGGAGAAAUACUACUUUAGAGAAAAGUAGUGUUUAACCGUAAAUAUUAAGACAUCAUUAAUGUUGGUUUUUUUAGUGAGUUAGGUUUUAUUUUAAGUUUUGUAAAUAACUAAACUCGGUCACUAAUUUCGGUUACUAAAUACGUCAUUAAAGGUUAACGACUAAUAUUUUUCCGAUUGAAAAUUGGUGGUCACGUUAUUGGUUGCUAAACGUUAUAGUGAUUGAUUUUAGACUUUUAGGUCUCUAAUUACGUUACUAAACACAAACUUUUUAACAGUGAAGUCAUCAAUUAACAUCUAUUAGAAUGUAUUUUAGGACGCUCAAAACAUGGUAAGCUCCUAUUGAAAUUUCAAAUCUUACAUAUUCUUAAAUUUAUUUUACAAUUUUAUUGAUUUGUUUCCACUGUAGAGAUUGUGAAAUAAUCGAAUGGCAAGAACAACAAUAUCACAUCUAUGUUCUAUUCUUAGAUCAGAUCAAUAAGAAAUCGAGUUUUUCUAAACCUAAAAACCAGUUUAUAAUUAGUAUAAAACAUAAAAGUCAAUCCUUGCAAACCUUUAUAAAACAAACAAAAUAAAAAAACAACCAAGAAAUAAACAAUGAGGAAUGAAAGAAAAAGCUAUUGGCGGCGGCACACGUGGAGGAGAGCGAUUGUGUGAUGCAAAUCAGACGGUUGAGAUCGACGACGCGAGUGUGGUGGUUUGGUUGAAGGUGAAGGCAUGACUGUUAUAGUUUUCAGGUGAGUUUCUAAGAUAAUUUACUAGAUCAGAUCUAGUGGUGUAAAGUGCAUAUGGAAAGGAAAAGUCGACGGAAAAGAAGAAGAAACCUAAAGAAGAAUGAAUGAUGUAGGUGAAAAGGUGGUCGAAACUGCGGUAGUAAUCAACGGCCUUGAUGGUCCAGCCGAUUCGGUUGAUGAAACUUUCAGAAGAUGUUAAGUUUAUGUUCAAUUGAUUUGGAAUAAAAAUGAAAUUUUGAGAAUGAGAUAUUCCAAAAGACACAAAAACUCUUAUUUAUGGCAUACCAUAUUGAUUAAGUUUAGUAGCUAAUAAAAUUAGAAAGAAAUAUAAUUAAAGUAUAAUCUAAAAUAGUUAAAUAUAAAUUUAUAAAAAAAAUGAAGAUUGAGUAAAACUUGGAUAUAAAAUUUAUUAAUACAGAGUAAUGACUUUGUAGAAAAGAUAAAGUUAUUUAUGUAAGAUUAAUCUUUUCGUUUAAAAAAACAUAUUUUUUGAUAUAAUUCCUUUUUAUCUUUUUGGUGAAAAUAUUUUUUUUUAAUAAAGAAUUAUUAAUUUAUUUGUUGAUUCACACGUACUACUUUAUAAAAUGGAAAUAUGUGAAGGACAUAUACUAAUGUAAGUAAAAGUGUGGGAAAAUGUGAUGGACAAAUACUACUUUAGAGAAAAGUAAUAUUCAAUAAUAAAUAUUAAGACAUCAUUAUAAAUGAGUGUUGGUUUUAUUAGUGAGUUAAUUUUUAUUUUAAGCUUUGUAAACAACUAAAAUCGAUCGCUAUAAUCGGUCACUAAUUUCGGUUACUAAAUACAUUACUAAAGAUUAGCGACUAGUACUUUUCCAACUGAAAAUUGAUGGUCAUGUUAUUGGUUGCUAAACGUUAUAGUGACUGAUUUUUAGAUGUUUGGGUAUCUAAUUAUGUCACUAAACACAAACUUUUUAGAAGGGAAGUCAACAAUUAACAUCGCAACAACAAUAUCACAUCUCUGUUUUAUUCUUAAAUCAAAUUAAUGAAAAAUAGAGUUUUUCUAAACCUAUAAACUAGUUCAUAAUAAGUAUAAAACAGAAAAGUCAAUCCUUACACACCUUUAUUAAACAAGUAAAAUAAAAAACAACAAAGAAAUAAACGAGGAAUGAAAUAAAAAGCUAUUGGCGACGAUGCACACGGAGGAGAGUGAUUGUGUCAUUCGAAUUAGACGGUUAUGGUCCCACCACGCGAGUGUGAUGGUUUGGUUGAAGGUGGAGACGCGACUUUUGUAAUUUUCUAGAAAAUUUCUAAAAUAAUUUACUAGAUCUGACAAAACAAAACGAAACACAUCCUAAUCUACGUCACUCGGAUCUAGUGGUGUAAAGUGCAUAUGAAAGUAGAUGGAUAAGAAGAAGAAGAAUGAAUGAUGGCAGUGAAAAGUUGGUUGGAACUACUAUAGCAAUCAACGACGUUAAUGGUCCAGACGAUUCGUUCCAUGAAUCUUUUAGAAGAUGAUAAGUUUACCUUGAAUUGAAAUGGAAUGAAAAUGAAAUCUUGAGAAUGAGAUCUUCCAAAAAAAAAAAAACUCUUAUUUGACUUAUCUAUUUUUUUUGUUAAUUUAUGAAAAUGAUUUUUUAUUAAAUUUAUGGCAUACCAUAUUGAUUAAGUUUAAUAGCUAAUAAAAUAAGAAAAUAAUAUAAUUAAAGUAUAAUCUAAAAUAAUUAAAUUUAAAUUUAAAAUAAAUGAAAAUUGGGUUAAAGUUGCAUAUAAAACAGAUUAAUUCAAAGAAAUAACUUUGUAAAAAGGAUAAAGUUAUUUUUGUUAGAUUAACUUUUUUGUUUAAAAUUAAAAAAAAAAAAAAAUUUUAUUAUAGUUUGUUUUUUUCUUUUUGGUGAAAAUAUUAUUUUUAAUAAAAAAUUAUUAAGUUAUUUGUUGAGUCACCACAUACUACUUUAUUAAAUGAAAAAAGUGAUUGACAAAUAGUAUUGUAGGUAAAGUAUGGGAAAAUGUGAGGGACAAAUAUUACUUUAGAUAAAAUUAAUAUUUAAAAUAAAUAUUAAGAUAUCAUUAUAAAUGAGUGUUGGAUUGUUUAGUGAGUUAAGUUUUAUUUUGUAGAACAAUAAAAAUUUACCACUCAAAUAUUGAUGCUUAAGUAUCUGUCAAAUUCAAAUUACAUAUAAGUAUAUGAGAAAAUAUAUUAUUUAUUGUUCUAAUUAAUAAAGUUUAAUUUAAAAUAACUAAUAAUAUUGUAAAACUUAAUGAUACAUAAACAUUAUUUUUGAAGUGUCUCUACCAAACAAACAAUAUUGACAAUAUAUACUAUGUUUUGAGAUCCAUAAAAGAGGUUAUCAUGGGUUAUCAAAAACUAAUAUCUAUAAUUAUACACGAUUUUAUUUUAUUUUAUUUUUUAUAAUCAUAGAUGUUUAACAAUUCUAUCCUAAUUAAAUUUUAUGUUAUAUUUUUAUUUGUAGUUUUUUUUAAUUAUUGAUGUAUCACCUACUCAAAAUAAUAGUUUGAUGGAUAAUUGGAUCCACGUUUUUCAAUUUAAGCGAAUAAAUUAUUUAUUUUUAAAUGGAUAAUUGGAUCCAUGUUUUUCGAUUUAUAUUUUUCUAAGAUUAUAUUUUUCUAUUUAUAUUUAUGUAUAGAAUUAUAUUUUUCUAAGAACAGUGAGAAAUCAUGACAAUAUUAUUUAAUUUCACUAUAAUAUUUAUUUUUCAACUUAUUUUGUUGUUGUUGAAAUAAAAAUAAUUGUGGUGUUUGUAUGCACACUUAUACAAACACUCUAGAAAUCACAAUUAUAAAACAUUGAACUAUUUAUGACAGCAACAAUAAUUCUUUUUACACUCGCCAUGUAGAGAAUUUGGAUACAAUGAACAAGCGUAUAAACACGCUCGAAAAUUACACUCGAACCCUGAUCCUGCUGCCUUCCAACAACAUUGGUCUUCACAUUUAUCAGGAGGGGAUAAAAAAUCAAUGGGAAAGUUUAUAGAACUACUGUCACCUGAUCCCAAGACUACAACAAUGCAUAGAAUUGCAAAGGUGUAAUUGAGAGUGUUAAUGGGAGUAGCCAUUUAUUUCUACGUUCAAAGAUAAACAAUCAACACCUUGAAAUAUUUAAAGAAAGAGAAUGUCACUAUUUUACUCCCUCGAGUCCUAUUUAUAUUAGAUAAUUUAUUAUUUAAAUUUAUUGAAUAUUCAAUGUAUUUGGCAAUAAACCAGAUUCAU
This 57485-nucleotide long non-coding RNA is filed under the name Lathyrus oleraceus (garden pea). RNAcentral's name for it is "Pisum sativum (pea) long non-coding RNA (PSAT_LNC032284)". The record is from RNAcentral. Lineage: Eukaryota; Viridiplantae; Streptophyta; Magnoliopsida; Fabales; Fabaceae.